AUUUUACACUGUUGGCGACAAUGUAAUCACUGAAGAUGAAAUCAAGGCUCUCAUUAAAGGGAGUGAGGGAGUUUACAAGCCUGUUGAAGCUUACCUCUUGGCUAAUCCCGAAGCCUGCAACUAAGAUAUAGAUUGCUUUGAAUUCUCAUGCUGCUUUUAAAGAGUGGCCAUUACUUUCAAUGGUGUGUUUUUUAUAUUUUCUCUUUCCACUUAAAACUUAAACUUUCUUAUGAUUAUUUUAAUAAGAGCGGUGGUGGUGAUCGAGCUUUGAUCAUCUUUAUUUUCAUUACUAUCAAAUAAUUUGGGUUGUAUCAUCUUUGACAUAUACUGAAAUAAAAUAAACACCAAUUCACAAACAAAAAAGGUUUUACCUAGUAUAUUGAUGAGUUAAAAUUUAUAAGACUAAUGCACGUAUUGAUGAAAAAAUAAAGUGAUAAAUAGAUAUUAUGCCUACAAGGAUCCAAUUUUAAAUUACUUAGUAGUAACUAUUUAAGUUUUAUUCAAUCCAAAACAAUAAAAUAAAAUUUAAUUAUUAUUAAAAUUAAACUAAGUUGAUUAAGAAGGCUUUAUUAAACUAAAACAAAGAAAAUUUAUAUAUGUUAAAUCCUAUAUGGAAGAAUUAAAUGUUCAUUCACCUCCUUAUAUUCUAUAUUCUAAAAAAAAUUUUGUGUUUGGACAAUUGAGUUACUUAUUUUACAAGGGCAUUAUUGUCAAUAUAGGAGGAUGUGAGUUCGAAUGUGCUGAAGCGCAUUAUCCUCCUAUUAAUAAGUUAGAGAGGGAUUAUAAAUAAUUUUAAAUAUUAUUUUUAAAAGAGCAUAUAUAAUUAAAACAUAUAAAGAGAUUGUAAAAAAGGAAAAAAAAAAAACCUUGUGCGUUUCUUGCUUACCACGAUGGGAAUAGACAAACUAACUAGUUUGGUUGCCUUAGAGAUUGAUCUUAAUUAUUAUCCUUAGUACAAUAAUUUGACAGUAAUUUUAUUAUAUUCUAUUUUCUUUAUCAUAGGGAAUUAUAACCUGUAAAAAAAUUUAAUAAAAUGAACAUGAAUUACUUCAAUUCAUAGUGUUGUAAAUCAUCUCCCCUUUCUAACGUUUGUAUUGGGAGAGCAGGUUAACCAAAACUCCUGAGCCCUACAAAAGGAACGAAGGCAUUAAAAAAACACCCAUAAAUCCUCAUGGAAUCAUUAUAUUAUCUUUGAGAGAUGCUUCAAGGUUGGAUAUUUAAACUUGUAACUAGUAUAUCAAUCACUGAUAAUUAUAGUAAAUUACUCUACUAUUUUCCGUUUUCCACAUAUAUGUGGAAGGCAAUUUCAGAUGAGGAGAUAAAAAAAAGCUUUGUUUGACAUGACUCCUUUGAAAGCUCCUGGGAGCGAUGGUUUUCAUGCUUUGUUUUUCUGAGUCAGUGGAAUGUUGUGGAAUUGCUGUCUGUGAGUGGGUUAAAAGGGUAUUUAAUGGUGGGUCAAUUGAACCAGAUUUGAAUAACACAGUCAUUGUCCUCAUUCCUAAGAUUGCGCAUCUGGAAAGUUUCCAAUAGUUUAGGCCUAUCAGUUUGUGUUCAAUCUUGUACAAGCUAGUCAUGAAAGUCAUUACUAAUCGAUUUAGGUGCAUCUUCCCUAAAUUAAUUGCGCAAGAGCAGACGAGUUUUAUUGCAAAGAGGAAUAUUAUGAAUAAUAUCCUCAUUGCACAGGAAGUCAUUCAUUCCAUGAGAGGGAAACGCCACUAGAAGUCUUGAAUGGCUGUUAAAAUUGUUCUAGAAAAAGCAUAUGAUCGAGUGCGGUGAGAUUUUACCGAGGCUUUGCUAAGACCUGUAGAUAUUCUGGUUUUUUUAUAAAGGUCAUUAUGGAUGGAAUAUCAGGUUCUCCGUGCAAGUUCUUUGGAAUGAGAUUCCAGCAUAGAAAUUUAAGCCGACGAGAGGGAUCUGUUAGGGCUAACUUUUAUCUCUGUAUUUGUUUGUUCUAUGUAUGGAAUGGCUUGGGUAUAGUUUUAGUUUGGCUAUUUCUAAUGGUCAGUGGCAUCCAAUUAGAUUGUCUAGAGCUGGGCCGGAUUUAUCACAUCUAUUCUUUGUUGAUGAUCAGGUAAUUUUUACCAGAGUUGACUUGGGUCAUUCACUACUCCUAAAGGAGAUUUUGGAUAAUUUCUACAAUAUCUCUGGUCAUUGUGUUAAGGCUCGGAAGACUAAUAUUUUUUUCUCAAAAGGGAUUAACAAGGUGGUGGGUAGUGGAAUUAGUAGUUUGCUUGGUUUCCAAAAAGUGGAUAAUCCCGGUUCGUAUUUGGGUGUUCCUAUUUUUUAAGAAAGGGUCACCAAAAGUACUCUUAGAUUUGUGGUGGAUAAGGUUCAAAGUAAGUUGUAUAAUUGGGACGCCAGGAAGUUAUCUUUAGCUCGGACAGAUACUUUAGCACAAUAUGUACUUUUAUCCAUUGCAAAAUAUUUCAUGUAGUCUUUAAUGAUUCUAACGUUCCGUUUAUUUCUUUGAAAAUGGCUUUCGGAAAAUGAUUUUUAGAAAAUGACUUAUUUUUCUGGAAAAGCUAAUAUUUUCUGGUGUUUGGAUGAAUUUGUGUAAAAUAUUUUCUUUUGUUUGGCAAGUUCUUUAAAAAUAUUUCAUAAAAGUCGUUCUCAAUUAAACAAACAUACAUUUGAGAUUUUUUUUUUCAUUGUUUAAUUGAGUUUAUUUUAUAUCUAUAAUUUUAUAUUUUACAUUGUUUUUACAUAUAUUAAAAAUAUUUUGUUAAAUUUAUGUUCAUUGCAAUGAUCCUUUUUUAGUUACAUGACUACCAACUGAGCAUUUUUUUAUUUAAAAAUGUGACAUUAACAAAAUUGACAAAAAAAUCAACAAUGUUAGCAGUUGGACUUGAUUUUCUAAUCUAGAAAGUAGAGGGGCUAAAUUCUUUAAAAUAAAAGUACAUAAACUAAAUUGCAAAUUUGUAAAGAGUAUAUAGACUUAUGACAUAUUUUAACAUUUAUACUACAAAACAUUUAUUAUUAAUAUAUUUAUAAUUGUAAUAAAUAUUUAGUAUUAAAAUAUUAAUAUUGAUAUUUUCAAUAAUAUGUGAAUAAUAUUAUUUAAAAUUAUUAUUUUUAAAAACUACUAUUAAAAUAAAAUUUAAAUAUUAAAUAAUUUAUUAAAAAUAAUAAAUUAUGUUAAUUAUAUUAAUAAUUUAUUAUAUGACUAAAUAUAAAUAAUUAAAUACGUAUGUUUAAUAAUAUUAAAAAAUAUAAUAUUUUAUAUUAAUAUUUUAAAUAUUUUUAAAAAUAAAAAUAAAAAUAAAAUUUAUUAUCAGUAUAAUAAUAUUAAACUUGAUUUAAUUUAAUUUUUAUAUAAAAGUAAAAUUAUCUAUUGAGGAGCUCGUUUCCGAAAAAUGACCUUUUCAAAAGGGUGAGUCAUUUUACAAGGAAAAAGGCUUAUUUUUCGUUGACCUGUAUGUCAUUUUCUGUUGGCCAAGCUAUUUUCUGUGAAACAAACACAGGAAAAUGCAGAAAAUUUUUUCCGUAAAACCUUUUACAUGUAAACAAACGAACCCUAAAUGAGUAUGUGAUGAGAUUGAGCGCUUGGUCAGAUAGUUUAUUUGGGGUUGGUCGAGUGGGAACAAGAAGUUGACGUUAGUUAGUUGGGAUUCAGUCUAUCAGCCUCGUUCUUGUGGAAGACUUGGGUUUCAUCAUUUGGAGGAUCAGAACAAGUCAUUUUUGUUGAAAUUGAAGUUUAAUUUGGUUUUGAACGACAAUGCUUUAUGGGUUAGGAUUCUCAUUUCGAAGUAUGGUAUGAAGGAGAGGUUGCCAGAGAGCAUUUUGAGAAGUUCAAGUUUGUUCCUUUGGAGGGCUCUAUCCAAGGUUUGGUCUUUGCUUAAAGAUAAUCUAGUAUGGUCCAUGGGAGAUGGAAUGAAGGUCGAUUUGUUAUUGGAAAGAUCAUUGGAUUGCGAGUGUAGGACCUUUGAUGCGGCUAAUCCCUUCGCAUGCUAACUUGGAUCCUGACUAUAUGCUUAACGUGACGGUAACGGUGGAUGAGGUGUGAAAUAUUGAUUUAUUUCGAGUGUGGCUGUUUCAAGACAUUGUUCGGUGUAUAGUCAGUAUUUCGACACCCCAUUCUUCAGCGGGUCCGAACAGGAUUGCUAGGAGCCAUCAACCUAUUGGAUCUUUUUUUGUUAAAAGGGCGUAUCACAUGAUUCAGGAGAAUUUUAGGAGGCCUAGAUAUGAGACUUGUAAGAGAGCAUGGAAAUUUUAAGGGGCGCAAAGAGUUCGUUUCUUUAUGUGGCUUACUUUAAAGCAAAGAUUGCUCACAAGUAUGGAAUGUGUUAGGAGAAGAAUUGGUCAGGAUCCUUCUUUCCCAGUUUGCGGCCAUGCCUCUGAAGACCUUCUUCAUGUCCUUAGAGAUUGCUCUAUGGUGAAACAUGUAUGGCUGAGCGUAGUGCCUGUAAAUCAGAGUGAUAACUUUUUCUCUGUUAACAACUUUGCAGACUAUUUAGUUUCUAACUUAUCCUCACGUUUAAAGGUACACUCUGAGGAAGUUUUUUGGUCUUGCUUAUUUGGUUUAAUAUCAUGGUGUCUUUGGAAGAACAAGAAGUUAUUCAUUUUAUAGUGUUUGACUUGGAAUGCUUAAGAGAUAAUUAAAGUUUCAGUAUGUUGGGCUCAACAAUUUUUAAAUGUUCAUUUGACUAUGAUGUUUAGUAGGUGCAUUGGAGCUCUGGUUUAAUCUUUGUUGAAUCUUUGUGUUUUUCUAUAUACUGAUGGGGCAAUGAAUGUGAGUACAAGAUGCACAUCUGCUGGUGGUGUAGUGAGAGAUCAGUUUGGUGAUUGGAUUGUCAGGUUCAAUCAUAAUUUAAGUGUUUGUCUAGUCUUUGAUGCUGAACUCUUGAGUAUUUGGGAUGUUUUACUAUUGUUAUAAGAAAAGGGGUAUGUUAAAGCCUUAAUUCUGGAAAAUUGCUUGGAGGCAGUCAAUGCUAUUCAAGAUGACUAUUUGGGGUAUCAAUUUAGGCCUUGGUUUGAUGAAUUAAGCAGAUUUUAUAGUACAAGGAGCAUUGGACAGCUAGGCAUGUCUCUAGGGAGAGAAAUCAAGUUGCUAAUCGUUUAGUUAAAAUGUUUUCUGUUUAAAUUGAUGGUAUGCAUAGAUUAAUAGGCACGCUUAGGGAGUUAAUUGAUCUCCUUAAACAUGAUAAAGUUGCUAGUGCUUUUGUUCAUUUAGUUUGAUCUUGUUAUAUCUUUUUAUUAAAAAAAUCUCUAACUAACACGAUUUAUUUUGAAUUUAAUAAAAAUAAUUUCUUAAAAUAAUAAUUUUAGACAAUUUUUAAUCAAUGCUUAUAAAAACCGUCAGCACAUCAAAUUAAUUGAACCAUAAGUCUCUGUCAGCACAAUUCAUUAUUCCCUCUAUAUAUUUAAAUAAGCAUUAUUGAAAACAAUAAAUUAAGCAAAUAAGUAGAUAAGUAGAAGACAAACUGAUACAAUAUUUGAACUCACCAAUUUGCGAUUUAAUAAGAAAGUUCUGGCUGCCUAUUUUGACUAGUACCAAUUCAAUGAAAAUUAAUAACAAUGUUGGAUAUAAAUCCAAUUAAAAAAUGAGAAUAAUAAUUUUUUACGCUUCAAGUUCAGUGUAUAAAUAGCAUCCUAGUUCUCUAUCAUCUCACACCUCAACCACUCAAUCAUCCACUUCUUCUCUUCUUUGAACUCAAAGUCCCAGUUAAUAUUAGAAUCAUGGGUGUUGUCACUUAUGACUAUGAGUCUACCUCCCCAGUCGCCCCUUCCAGGCUUUUCAAGGCCUUUACUGUUGAAGCUCCGAAAGUUUGGCCCACGGCUGCACCUAAUGCAGUCAAGAGUAUUGAGGUUGAAGCUAAUCCUAGCUCUGGAAGUAUCGUAAAAAUCAACUUUGUUGAAGGUUAGUUCUUUCAUUGGCCUUUUUGUAGUCUGUUUUACACGAGUAUGUUGGAUAACAAGUAUUUAUUUGUUUAGGCCUUCCAUUCCAAUAUAUGAAGCACCAGAUAGGAGGACAUGAUGAAAGUAAUUUUUCAUACAGUUACGAUUUAAUCGAAGGUGGGCCUUUGGGGGACAAACUUGAAAAAAUCAGCUAUGAGAACAAGUUUGAGGCAGCUGCAGGUGGAGGAAGUAUUUGCAAGAGCUCAAUGAAAUUCUACACUGUUGGCGACAAUGUAAUCACUGAAGAUGAAAUCAAGGCUCUCAUUAAGGGAAGUGAGGGAGUUUACAAGCCUGUUGAAGCUUAUCUAUUGGCUAAUCCUGAAUCCUGCAACUAGGAUAUUGGUUGCUUUGAAUUCUGAUUCUUGGUUUUAAAGAGUGGUCAUUGCUUUUAAUGGUGUGUUUUUUAUAUUUUCUUUUUCCUUUUAAAACCUAAAUUGUCUUCUAAUUAUUUACAUAAGAGUGGUGGUGAUCGAGCUUUUGUCAUCUUUAUUUUCAUUACAGUCAAAGAAUUUGGGUUGUCUUUGACAUAUAUAGAAAUAAAAUAAACAAAUAAACUCAAAAAAAGAAAAAAAAAGGUUUUACCUGGUAUAUUGAUGAGUGAAAAUUCACAAUCCAUAUUAGAGAUGUGCAUUCGGUGGUUGGAACGAUUUGAUUAUUUUAUAACAAUAAUCGAAUAAAUAAAAAUUUUUACUGCAAUUGAAUUAAUCGAACCAAACUUAAAAAGGUAAAAAUGAAACAACCGAACUGAAUUUAGUCAAUUCGAUUAGAUUUAGUUAAUCGAUUUUUGCUUUUUUUGGUUUUUAACUUAGUUGAACUCCACCGAUCCAAAAAUUCUUCACUGUUCGUGUCGGCAUGUUUGUUCCUCACAGAAUGGGAGCAAACAGUAGCCGCCUUACCUUUUGCUAUAAAAAGGAUUUUAGCCUUUGCUUUCAAAAUCAUCCCAAUCUCUCCAAGAAAGUGUGUAUACUUUAGUAUACAUUUGGGUAAUUCCUUUAAUUAAGGAUUUCAUUAGUUUGUAAUCUUUUUAGUAUUAGUGAAGUUAUCAUUAGAUAUUGGAUUUUGAGGAUGUAGAUAAUUUGUUGAAUUUCAUAAAUUUGGUGUGCUCUUAUCUAUUAUCUUAUUUAUAUUUAUUGAUUUUUUCUAUCGUAUUUGAUAUUCAAUAGUAACUUGUCGGGUUAAUCUAUAAUGUUUAGGAGGUGAGAAAAAGUCGAUAGAAAUCGAUCGAACCAACCAAAAUUCAUUUUUCUAAAUUAGUUUAGUUGGUUUCGAGUUUAACUCGGUUACAUUAGGUGAUUAACUCAAGGUAAUGUCGGCUCGAUUUCAGUUUUGAAAUUCAAAAUUAUUUUAAUCAAUGACACUGACUUUACAUAUAAAAAUAUAAUAUAUUUAAUUAUACCCAAACCCAAUAUGCCAUUUACCAUAUCUCAAUCAAGCCAAAAUUAAAUCCAAAAUUUCAAAUACCCAAACCCAAUAAAAAUAAAAUAAUAAUUUAAAAUUAAAAAUUUAAUAAAAACUAAAAAUGUAAUAAUAAUUAAAAAACAUUAAACAAAAAAAAACUAAAAUUCUAACUUUCUAACCCUAAAACCUAAUUUCCCAAAACCAAAAAAGAAAAAUCUUACCUUUGUUGUAGCCCACAGUCAUUCCCCUGACCCUGUGUUUCACCUUUGUAACGAUCCAAAUUUCAGUGGUGUAAGAAAAUACGAUUUUAAAAUCUCAUUUUCGUAAACUGGGUCCGUAAGGGCAAAAAAUAAAAAUUUAGGAAGUUAGUAUGAAAAUAGAUUGAAACUUUGUUAAGUAAUUUAAUUGAUAAAUUGGUUAAUUAAAGUUCAAUGACUAAAUUGUAAAAGUUCAAUUGAUAUUGAGUUUGUAACACCCCAUACCCGACCCGAUCGUCGGAUCUGAACUAUAAGGUGCUACACUUCAUUAACUAUUACCUAAAAUGCUCCUUUUUAGCAAUACAAUAACUCAAAUUUAUAAUGCUAACUCUUACAUACAAAUCUUUAAUUUAGUACUCUUCGGAUGCUGAGUGAAGACAAAUAGACAUUUGCAACCUAGAUAAAUAAGGGAUUUACUACCAUGUUAAGACACAUAAGGAACAAUUUCACUGGAAGUUCCAUUAUAUUGAACUAAUUUAGUGACUUGAAAAUUUGAAAUCGAUUUUUAGUCUUGGUUACAACUUGACUCAGACCCUAAGACUCCGCCUUGGGUCGCCUCGUUGUAUGCACAUUGCUACGACCACAAAAUAAGUUGCCUGAUCUUGGUAAAUUCUGGCUUGGUCACUUAUUGAUUUCUAGAAACAACUACUAAACCUACAAUUCAUAGAAACACAACUGUAAUUUCGAUUGAACCUAGUGAGUGGUCCAUACCUGGCAUCAGCAUAGCACAAAUGAACUACUAUUUCAACAUUUGGAAACCACAUGACUUUCCUUGUGAAGAACACAUCCAUCAAAUCAUGUUGGUGUGGACUUGACUGUGUAACGUUUCAUUGAUGAGAUCUUAGCGAUGUAUGAUAAAGAAUACCCAGAUAGAAACGUUAGUAUGUUGGCAAGUAAUUCCGCAAAUCCUUUCUUUAAUGAUUUUCCUUAAGGACCUUUUCGUAGUUCUUCAAAAAAUACUUUCUACGAAUUCUCACUUGUGUACUCAAGAAAGAUACUCAUGCAUCUAUCUUGUGUUAUAACUAAGUUGAAGAAUAGAUCAUAAAGAAUGCCUUCCACUAUGAACCAUUAUUAGUGCUUGAUCUAACGGCCUCUAGUAGGUGGAUCUACUUUCAACUACAUAGUCAGAUACCAAUGUUUCAAACAGUAUCUUGAACACAAUACUUACUUAGAUAAACAAUUCCUUCAUUUUGGAAGUAUAGGAAAAUACCCUUGUAUCAUCCCCCAAAGAACCUGGCGAACUGUUAUAUAUAUAAUAUGAAUUCCAUACAAUUUGCUUGUAUUGUAGGUUCAAGCAUAGAAUGUGCUACUAGCACGCAGAUUCAUUCUUGGCGUACCUAUAAAAUUAUAUUCGAAUCCCCGAAUGAACCUGCAAGCUCUCACCAAAGUGAAUUCCAUAACUACUGUAGAUGCAAAACUAUAAGGAUAAGUCAAAAAACAGUCAUAACUUGUAUCAGACUCACUUUAUUUGCUAGCACAGGCACAAUGGCCUUCUCAUAAUAGUAGAUCACCUUUUUUUGGACUCAUACAAAAGACAUAGUGUAAAAUCAUAUUUACAAGAUAGUUCCUUAUAUUACAUAGUCCUCACGAACUUUCAUAAAAGAUAGUCCGUAUAGACUUCCAGAAAAGAUAGUCUUGGAUGACUUUCCAUAUAUUAGAUAGUCCUCACGGGCUUCUACAUAUACAGUAUUGUCAUGGCCAUGGUCUUCCAUACUUCCCAUAAAGGGCUCUCAAAUGUCCCACACAAGGGGCUCUCAUAUACUGGUGCACACUAUUCUUCGUACCAUUUAAAAACUCCAUUCUUGGCUCAAUCCAAUCGAACCUCCCUCAAAGCCACCUAAAUAGUAUGCAUCACAUACACGAACCCUCAACCAAUAAUUACUAUUUAUCACACACCAGUCAUUUUAUUGAUUCAUCAUAAGCAUACUUACUACCAAUCAAUCAUAUCAAUUCAAUAUGCAACAAUGCAUCAUACCAAACCUUUCAUUUACUUAACAUAGUUAACUCACAAUCAUUUGCGGAAUUGCAUACCGUAACACAUACAAUCACCAUACAUCAUUAAUUCCUCAUAACAUAAUCAUAAUUUGUAAGCUCAUCACACACUGCAUGCAACAAGACACCUCUACUUACAGUCAUAGAAUGACUUGUCAUUUACAUAACACUAAAUUAGCCUUUUUUAGCACACAAUAUUUAAAAAGGAACAUCCAUUUAAGAUCUGAGUACUGGGACUUACUUGGAAGUUAUCGCCAAAUCCAUCUUUUAAGUCUUUUCCCCUUGUUACACUAGCCUCCUUAGUCAAUACAACACAACAACCAUUUCAGAAUCCAAUAAAACCAUUCAUUAUCAUAAAAACUCUAAUUUUUUUGCAUGCAGAGACCAUUUAAAUGAUUAUUCGUCUCUUUACCCAAAACAAAACAAAAAGAAUAGUCAACUUAAAUCCUUAACUUCCUUCUUUUCUUAAACCCGCUAAUGUAGAGAGAUUAGAAAACUUACCAGCAUGCAAAAUUUCCAAUUUCUAAAACUUAAUCCUCAGUCUCUCCCCUUUGUACACGAACGUUCCUUAAUCUUUCUCUCUUCUAUGGCAAACCAGAGAAAAUAAGAAAAACAAAGAAAAUAAAAGAACAUCCACAGAUAAAAAUGCCCCUCCUAUAUAUCAGACUGAGGGUGGAGUGUUGCAUACUUCAUGGCAAUAAAACUAUUAUAGAGCUUUCUAGAAGUUUAAGUUGACAAGGUUCCCCAAUCUAUGAACACAAAGGCUAAUUUUUUGUCUCGAGUUGCAUCUAUUGUGGGAUUCCAGGAAAGGGAUAAAAUCUUACUAGAGCAUAAAAAAAGUCCCCAUUUCACAUUCAGUAGGACAAGUUUUCAACAUAGACUUUGGAAAUACAUGGAUAACACCAUUAGUGGAAUUCUUAUCCAGUGAUUCAAGACCUUUGAUCCUAAGGAACUUGAUUGCAUUUCUUUCCUAGCCUCUUAGUGCACACUUAUUGAUGUAGUCCUCUAUAAUAAAGCUUUCCUCCAUCCGCUUUUGAGUUGCCGAUGGCCUUUCGAAGUAGUGUGUGUGAUACGGAAGGUUUAUGAGCGCAUUUGUGGGCACCAUCUAGAUGUAAGGGCCAUGGCCUAGAAAGUUUUGCAGUAGUGAUUGAGACGAAAUGAAUGUGUGGAUGAGUGAGGAAUAGGAUUGUAAGUUUGCCCAAGUUGUGGAUUUCACUUAAGGCUCUAGACAAUCGAAAAUAAAUUUGGAUUUCGACACAACCUAAAAUAGAAACAAAUCCAAGUUAGAUCUACGAAUUCAGAUAUUAAAAGAAGUAAUUAAAAUAGAUAAUCAAGAUAAAAAAAUAAUAAAAUAAAUCAAAGAUUUGAAUAAUGAAAUAGGAACAAAAUAAGAUAAAGAAGAAAAUAAAACAGAUAUAUGGAAAAGAUGAAAAUGGUGUGUAGAAGUCGUAAGGAGCCUUGAAAACCCGAUGAAUCCACAACCCCCUUCGAUUGGCAGUAAUUUUCCCUCCAAGAAAGGGCAAGAAAAUGCUUGAAGAUGAUCCCCAUAAUCUGAAUAGAUUGUUAAAACUCUUCUAAAAGAAAACUGAAGAGAAAGUCUUAAAAAGAAAACUCAAAGAUAAUUUUAUUAACUCAAAGUGAAUAAUGAAUGAAUUCAUUGUUGUACAAUGCAAAGGCCUUUAUAUAGGCUAGUUAAAUAAAUCUAAAUAAAAAUCUCAAGUAUACUAGAACUCUAAUUAACCGAAACAAGAAGUAGUUUUAAACUAAACUUUCUUGUUGAUAUAAAACUCCUAAAUAACUUAAAAUAUUUAAUAAUUAUAAAAAAAUUAGAAUAAAAAAAUAAUAAAAUAAUAAGAGAAGAUAAAUAGAAUAUUGGGCUUAUAUAUAAUAAAAAUUAAGCUUAAAACCCAAAACCAAUAUGAUUUAAACUCGAAUUAAAAGCCUGAAACUCGUAAUUUCAGUAAUAAUCCCGUCGAGAAAUUCUACUCAUGCAGUUUUCACUAAAACAAUCAUAACUUGAGUUCUCGAACUCGAAAUCAAGUGAUUCAAAGUGUGUGUCGAAGCUAAAAGAUAUAUCUUAGAACGCUAUGAAGACAUAUUAAUCUAGAAUGUCUAGAACCCAUCCAAAAAUUUGUCACAAGUUGACUAAUCUUUUCAUCUUUAAAAUUGAUAGCUUGGCUAAAUUGACUUUAAUAGAUUUCACCCAUUCCGAGCAUGUUUCAUUCCUCGUUGCCUCGAAAAGUUUAUCCUCACUUACUAACUUUAACCAAAACUUGGUUUGAUUUGGUUGACCUUUGAUCUUGUUGUUGAGCCUUGAGGUAGUGUAAGCCCAUCACAUGUAUCGAUUUGAAAGUUGACAUUUAGACUUGUUUUGUUCCCCCAUUCCUCAAGAAGAUUCGUCCUCGAAUCUUUAGUUGUAUAAAAAAAGGGAUUAGGAUUAAUAACAAUAAAAGCAAACAAAUAAUUACAUAAUCUUUCCUGUGCACCAAAACUAUCUCCAAGAUCAAAGAUAUGAUUUUUGUCUCCCAAAUUAGCUUGGAUCAAGUACCUCUCCUCCAAAAAUAAACCAUCAACACUAAAAAUAUAAAUAUUAGGCACAUGAGUGUUCAAGUAUAAAAUAAUUUGUAACUUUAUUUGAAUACGUAUGGUCAUCCAUAAUAAAUUCCAAAGAUUAGUUAAUAAUUUCACAUAAUAAUCAAAAUCCAGAAGUUUAAUAUUAUUAUGUAAAACAUCAUAUUUAAAGUCUAAGGUAGAAAAUUUUGCUGCAAGAUCAAAUGCAUAAAGUUCUUUAAUAAACCUAUCGAAUGCAACAAAAGUAACCUUUACAAACCUAGAUAAACCCAUAAAAUCAAUUGAACUUUCAAACCAUAGUUUAUUGAAACUUGACCAAUGAGAAAACAUGUUGUAAUGAAAUAUUUUACAAACAAAAUCAGUAAUAUGCUUAUUAAAAACAUUCAAAGUAUGCCUUUUUAAAUCAGAAUGUUUCCUUGCCUUUCUUACCUUGUAGCAUUUGUGGAGAAUUAUCAAUGUUUAACUUACCUCUCUCCCAUAAGGAAAAUCGUCUAUCGAUGGUAUAAUAAUAUAAUUGGAAGUCUGUCAAUGGAUCUCGAAAACCCAAAAAAUUGCGGAGCAACUUGAAAAAAUUUGUUCGAGGUGUUCCCAAUUUCCAAAAAUCAUGAAAUUUAAACUAGAACCUUCCCAAAUAACAAAAAUCUGAUUUGGAAAUUUUGGCAUGAAACUCAACCUAAAGAAUAAUUUUUUAUUUUUCUUUUAUGUUUAUGUUUUUCCUCUUUUUUGAUCACUUUUUUUUUGUGGAAAAUAUUUUUUAAUAUUCUAAAAGAGUGCUAAGAAUCAGCAUGUAAAAUUUUAGAUCUUUUGAAAAAUGUUUACCAAUUGAAAAAUAAUUUUUUUCCAAAAAGUUUUUGCGUAAAAACAAAAACUCUUUUGAGACUAUUUGCUGGAAAUCAAUUUAUAAGAACACAAAGAAUAUCUAAAAUGCCCAAGAAUUUGAUACCAAAUGAUAAGGUGACAGGGGACAUGAUUGUAAGUUUGUUCAAGUCACGGAUUUGACUUAGGGCUCUAGAUGUUCGAAAAGAAACAUGGAUUUUGGCACAACCUGAAACACAAUGAAUCCAAGUCAGAUAAAAAAAUAAAUGAAAAUAAUUGUGUAACACCCCAAAGCCGGCCUAGGAGUUAUGAUCGUAUCUAGUGUGUCACAUUGAAGUGUUUUUCAAAAAAUUUGACUCGUUGAAAAAAAAACUUGUUUCUAAGUUUAAAAUAAAUAAGCAAAAGCCCAAUUAAAAAUAUAAGCUACUUAAAGGCCUUAUUACAAAAAUAAAACCCAACAUUAAAUUAAAUAAAAAUUAAAGUAAAUUUUAAAUAGCAGCAGUUGUGUGGCCACCUCUAAGUCUCUCGCAGCACCGAAUCGCCUAAGGCUUAGGAUUACUUGCACAGUUAGAAGAGAGGGUGAGUUUACGAAAACUCAGUGUGUAAUCCUCUACCAAAUAAUCAGCAUACAACAUGCAGAAUCAGUCUGGGCUAGAGCCCUAUACAGUAACAGUGUGUAGGCCAUAGCCCAAUAUAGUAACAGAGAGUGGGCCUUAGCCCAAUACAAUAACAAAGUGUGGGCCUUAGCCCAAUACAGUAACAAGGCAAAUGCAGUAAUGCAACCCAUCCCAAUCAAGCCAACACACCACUCCGUACCACCAACACACCAUGUAGGGAUAAAAUUGACCCACCCAGCCAACACACCAAUAUCGCAGCAAAGCUGCCAGUAAUAGUAACGCAGCAAAGCUGCCAGUAACAGUAAUGCAGCAGAGCUGCCAGUAUCAGUAACGCAACAAAGCUGCCAGUAACAGUAUUUGUGGCAAAGCCACCAGUACAAUACACUUCCCCCAUAUCAGAAUCCCAACCCUAUGCAGUAUGUCAUAAAUCAUACGUGUAUGCAGUAUGUCAUACUCAGUAACAGUUAUAUAUAUAUAUAUCAUAGAACAAGUCGUUCAUACACACAUUUCAAUUCUUAGGAGCAUAAUAGUCAUUUUACCCUAUGGAGGUGUUUCAGUCAUUUUACCCUUUGAGGGUAUUUCGGUCAUUUUACCUUUCAAGGAUAUUUCGAUCAUUUUACCCUUCGAGGGUAUUUUAGUAAUUUUACCCUUCGGGGGUAUUUUGAUAAUUUUACCGUUCAAGGGUAUUUCAGUAAUUUUACCCUUCGGGGGUAUUUCAAUAAUUUUACCCUUCGAGGGUAUUUCAGUAAUUUUACUCAUCAAGGGUAUUUUGAUAAUUUUACUCAUCGAGGGUAUUUCGAUAAUUUUACCCAUCAAGGGUAUUUCGGUAAUUUGCCCACAAAUCGUACGUAGGGCUCAUCACUCGAGCGAUUGCACGCCCGUGUGGUCUCAAACGUCAUGUUCACGGCUUUUUAGCUUUUGCCGAUUUGCAGUUAAGUGAGGGUGUGAUUACACACCUGAUUGCGAAGGCGCACCUAAGUCUGCGAACACCUAAAAUCUGCAUUCAAACACGUUUUCCAUUAGACGCUAAACAAGAAAGACUAAUCACCUUCUAAACAUCCUUGAUCAAAACCAAUUUAUUACUUGCCUUGACUAACAAAAGAAUGGCUUAGCCACUUGCAAACGAUGUCGACUGAUUCAAUCUUGCUAACAGAUAUCUGCAAUGCUACCACACAUUAAUCGGUAUUGCUUAUUCAUGUGGUUGAAAUCCAUACAUAAUCAAAAAGAGAACCAAGAACAUUUGGCCUUCAUAUAAGAAUACUAGCCUACCUACCUUGGUCGAGGGAUGAGAGGAUGAUUUCAACAAAUUUACAACGCUUACACCGUACCACUUCUCGAGGAAAAACCUUAAUACCACAAUAGGCAGCACAUCGAGAGAAAAGCAUCAAUAAUAAAAAAAUCAAAGUAUUACAGAGGAGGCUAUUUGAUUUUAGGUAAAGAGAAAGAAGGGAACAGUAGCACUUACCGGUAGUCGAUAAUACUUGUAACACAAAAUAAAAAAGGAGAAAAAGAGAAGUGCAAAGAAGAUUCGACACAAAAAGAGAAGAAAGGGAAAAGGAUUCGGUAGAUAGGAUACCAAAGAACUAUUCGGCCACUCCAACAAAAGAAUAAAAUGGAAGUAGGAGAAGGCAGAUGAACAAACCUGAGAGGUUCCCAAGAUCCUUUGGGAAAAAUGGCACAGAAAAAACAAAAGGGGAGAAAGAAAAGCCAAACAAAACUGAAAUUGACCAAAAUUUCAACUGUGAAUGAGAGAAUUCUCUUAAAUAUAGAAACUUUACCAACCAAAAGACCAAUUCGGCACUAGUAACCCCCUAGCCGAAUUUCUUAGAGUGCCAGACUCCAAAAUCUGCACAACUCUUCUACUCAUCAACUCCUCGAUUUUCUCCUCAAAUCUCUCUUGUUAUCACUCCACCGAUUUCUCCUCAACUCCCUCUAUGACCAAUUCAAACUUCCUUCGGCAGUAUUUCACUCCAACUCUGCCACUUACAAGACUCAAGCAGCAAAAUAAAUACCCCAUUGCGCAACCCAAGACUUGAACCCCUGACUUCUCAGACACUUCCAAACACUCCUAAAUCACUUAACCACUGAAGCAGACAUUCAUUUAUGUCACUUUCUGUCACAGCUAAAUAUUUAUGUGCAGUGUUCGAACUGUUCCCUUAUUCAAAACAUAUUUCUUCUAGGCCCAAAAUUUGGGGUGUUACAAAUUAAAAUAAAUAACUAUGAUAAAUAAAAUAGAACAAUAAAGAAGAAAUUAAAAAAUAUAGAUGAAAAAGAUGGAACAUGGAGUGGAGAAGUCCUAAGGAGCCUUGGAAACAAGAAGAAUCCAUAACCCCCUUUAAGUGACUCUAAUUUCCCCUCCAAGAAAGAAAAAUUGACAAGAAAAAUUUUGAAUAUGAUCUCCACAACCAGAAAAGAUUGUUAAAAAUCUCCUAAUAGAAAACUCAAGAAAAAUUCUUGAGAAAAGAAAACUUAAAGAGAAUUUAUUAACUAAAAAGAGAAUUUGUUGAAUAAUAAUGAAUUGAUUUGUUGUAUACAAUGCAAAAGCCUUUAUAUAGAUUAGCUAAAUAAAUCUAAAUAAAACUCUUAAAUAUACUAUAACUCUAAUUAACCUAAACAAGAAGUAGUUUUAACUUGAAUUUUCUUGUUGACAUAAAACUCCUAAAUAACUUAAAAUACUUAAUAAUUAUAAAAAAUUAGAAUAAAAAUAAUAAAAUAACAAGAGCUAAUAAAUAUAAUAUUGUGCUUAUAUAUAAUAAAAAUUAAGCAUAAAACCCAAAUCCAAUAUGAUUUAAACUUGAAUUAAAAGCCCAAAACUCGUCAUUUCUGUAAUAAUUACUAUAACUUGAUUAUUUGUUACAUGACUAGGCGUGUGGGUUUAAUUGGUAUCCUUGAAAUGAAAUGCCUAGGCUUGUUAACAUCUUCCACAUGGGCUUGUCGUCAUAGAUUGAGAUUUUAGGCCCACAAACAAGAUUGGUCUCUUCUAAUUCAUCCUCGCUCUGUAUUAAACUCCAAAAUCCAUCAUCUUGAAGCUUCAACUCUUUUUCUCAAACUUUUUUGUGAUAAAGUCUUAAACGAAUAAGUUGAGUUUUGACUUUAACUACUUGGAUUUAGAUCUCGUGAUUGGGCACUGAGGGAAACUAAGUCCAUCUUUAUUAUAACCUUUGAAUUGGACCGGGUUGCUCGUAUCAUUGCCUCAUCCACAAAAGGGUUCUUCAUUGAAUCUGCAAUAUCAAUGGGAGAAAGGUCAACGACAUUAAAAGUGGCACUAACAUUAUGCUUAUCGAAAAGAUCGAUUUGAUAUGCAUUAUCAUUAAUGUGCUUGAGUACUUCAAAAGUUCCAUCACCACGUGGGUCCAAUUUUUCUUGCUUCUAGUCGAAAAUCCUUAUUUUCUCAUAUGGACCCAAACCUAAUCAUCAGGCUAAACUAUAACUUGCUUACACCCCUAGUUAGCUUUGUUGGCAUUCGUUUCAUUUGUUUUGGCGAUUUGUUGCCUUGCUUUCUCGUGCAUGGAUUUCACUAAUUCAGCUUUCUUCUCACUAUCCAAACUAGAAAUUUUUUCUAUAGGAAAUGUCAUAAGAUCAAGUACAGUUAGUGGAUUAAAACCAUAAACAAGUAAAAAUAGGGAAUAGCCAGUUGUAAAGUGAAUAGAUCGGUUAUAUGCAAAUUCAACAAAUGGAAAACAUUCUUCCCAACUAUUAAGGUUCUUACCCACAACAACUCGUAGUAAAGUACCUAAGACUCGAUUGACUACCUCAGUUUGUCCAUCAAUUUGGGGGUGACAUGUAGUAGAAUAUAAUAAUUUAGUAACAAGAUUACCAUAAAACACUUUCCAAAAAUGGCUUAGGAACUUUACGUCUUUGUCAGAUACAAUGGUGUGGGUUAUCCCAUGUAGGCGCACUACCUCUCUAAAAAGUAAGUCAACCACAUGUGUUGCAUCAUUCAUUUUGUGGCAAGGAUUGAAGUGAGCCAUCUUUGAAAACUUGUCAACAACAACAAAAAUACUAUCUUGACCCUUUCUAGUUCGUGGCAAACCAAGAAUGAAAUCCGCGGAUAAGUAUACCCAUAGUGAAGAAGGAAUCGACAAAGAAGUGAAAAGUUCAUAAGACGUUACCUUAGAUUUUGCUUAUUUACAAGCAAUACAUUUAGAAUAUACCUUUACAACAUCCUUCCUCAUGUGCCGUAAAUAAAAAAUGUUCUUGUAAAAUAUCUAGUGUUUUGGCGACACCAAAGUGUCCCAUUAAGCCCUCAGUACAUACCUCACGAUUUAAUAACUCUCUCAUGGAACAUUGUGGAACACAUAAACUGUUUAGGCAAAAUAGAAACCCAUCUACAAGAUAAAAGUUGUUAAAGGCAACAUUCUGACAAUUAGAAAAAAUAUUUGCAAAAUCAAUAUCAUUUAAGUAUAAAUCCUUUUUAUGUUCAAACCCUAAGACUUUAGCAUUUAAUGUAGUUAUCAAAGAAUAUCUACGAUAUAAGGCAUCAACAACUACAUUUUCUCUACUUGUUUUGUACUUAAUUACAUAUGCGAAUGUCUCUAGGAGUUCUACGCAUCAAGCGUGUCUUUUUCUCAACUUACCUUGUCCCUUUAACCAUUUUAGGAAUUCUUGAUUUGUAUGGAUAAAAAAUCAUUUGGCAGCAAGUAAUGUUUCCAAACUUGUAGAACUUGAACUAAUGUAAGCAACUCCUUAUCUUAAGUUGAGUAGUUUAAUUGCGCCCCAUUCAAUUUUUCACUAAAGCAUGCGAUAGGGCUCUUGUCUUGCAUCAAUACAACUCCAUUUCCAAUAACUGAAGCAUGACAUUCAAGUUCAAAAGUAUUAGAAAAAUUAGAUAAUUUAAGAACAGAAGUAGAACAUAACUUAUCCUUUAAGGCUUGAAAAGCCUUUUCCUGAGCUUCUCUCCACUUAAAAUUCACAGACUUUUUAAUAACCUCAAUUAAUGGGGCAACAAUAGUGGAGAAAUCCUUCACAAAACAUCUAUAAAAACUUUCUAAACCAUGAAAAGAUCCCACCUCAUUAAUUGUUUUAGGAGUGGGUCACUCCCUAAUUGCCUUUAAUUUGUCCUUAUCGACAUGAAUACCUUGAGCACUUACUAUAAAACUAAAAUGGCUAGUUUAUAACAACAAAAAUUGCAUUUAUCAAGGUUGGGAAGUAACUUUUCAGUUCUAGGAAUGUCCAAAAUAAAUUUAACAUGGAAAACAUGAUCAUCUAAAGAAGUUGAGUAAAUCAUAAUAUCAUCAAAAUAUACUACCACAAACUUACCUUAAUAAGGCCUUAAAACAUGAUUCAUUAUUCUCAUGAAAGUACUAGGUGUGUUAGUUAGACAGAAGGGCAUAACAAGUCACUCAUACAAUCCAAACAUAGUUUUAAAGGUUGUUUUCCAUUCAUUCUCUUCCCUCAUAUGAAUUUGAUGAGAACCACUUUUUAAAUCAAAUUUAGUAAAAAUUAUUAAACCUUGUAACUCAUCAAGCAUGUCAUCAAGUUUAGAGAUUGGAUGCUUAUACUUUACUGUUAUUUUAUUGAUAGGGCAACAAUCAACACAUUCAGAAUGAACCAUCCUUCUUAGGCACCAAUAGGACCGGGACGGCACAAGGGUUCAAACUUUCUCUAAUGUACGCUUUUUUUAAUAGCUCUUUCACUUGCCUUUGUAACUUCUUUGUCUCCUUGUGAUUGCUUCGGUAAGCUGGACAGUUUGGAAUUGUUGUACCAAGUUCUAAGUCAAUUUGGUGGUCAAAACCUAGCAAAGUUGGUAAACCUUCAGGUGGCUUAUUAAAAACAUCCUCAUAAUCUCGCAAAACAGAUGAAAAGACACUAGGCAAAAAAUCAUUAAGGUUAGCUAAAGUUAAAAAAAAAACAUCCUCAUCCACAUUAUCUCGUUGUAUGAGCAUUUUCAUCUCCUUGAAGUAAUUUGUAAGGCCCUAAAAAUAAGUCUGGCAGUUUCGGGUAAGUUUAAUGGGUUCCAAGUGAAAAUUAGGAGUUAAUCAGGUUUAUUAGUAAUUUUUAUUAGUUAGUUAGCUUAAUUUCAUUUAAAAAUAAGGAAAUAAUAUUCCAGAAAUAAAAUAUUUUUAGAAAAAUUAAUUUUAUAGUCUUAAAUAAUUUUUGGGUAAAAUAAAUAUUUUGGGUCGAAUUAGAAUUGAAAAAUCAAUUAAAAUGGGGGUUUAAUUGAGAGAAUUCAAAAUAUUGAUUACAUAGGACCAUUUUGCAAAACAAGAGAAAUAUUUGAGUGGUUCUAUGGAAAAUUACCCAUAUUUUUAGAAUUUUGGAGGGAAAAGAUUAUUUAGUAAAAGAAGGGAAUUGCGGGAGUGGCCUGAUGACAAUUUCCCCAAUUUUUGGAAAUCAGGUGGGGGUUCUUUAGUUCAAAAACGCUGCAGCCUCCUCACUUCACACACAAUUAUCAACUGAUUUCUAAGCAUUUUCUCUCAUUUUUAUUUUUCAUUUUCAAAGUCCACAUAUCAAAGAUUUGAUCUCAUCUUUUAUUCUCUCAAAAUUCUCUAGAAAAGAUUUCUAAAGUUGAGAAAAAACUCAUCCGAGUUCUUCAAAGAUCUUGAUCCAAUCUUCAAUAUUGGUGAUUCUAGAUCGAUUGAAGGUAUUUUCUCAAGUCUAAAUUCAUUCUAACGUUGUUUUAAUCAUUAUUUUCAAUCUAAAUUGAUUAAAAUAGCUUUUCAAAUCUUGAUCUCUUAGCUAUUGAACAUGAGAUUCAUCAAUGGUGAAUUCAUGGUUUUGAUUUGGAGUCCAAGUUUAAAUGGAUAUUUAAGCUCAAACUCGUUUGGUUGAUCAUUUUUGACAAAUCCAUUUUUUUAACUAAAAACAUGAGUUGAUUUUCUGAAAAAUUAUGAAACGGUUUGUUUGGUGAAAUUGAUGUUUAGGUUUUGUGUUGAUAGAUUAGGAAUGAUGUUUAGAAAUCAUUUUUGGUGUAGAGAAGGUCAUUUGGGUGUUGAAAUUUGUGUUUCAGAUCGAUCAUGAGUUUUCAGUAAGGCAGAUUGGAGAGGCGUUUUAGAUCUGUGUAGUUCAUGAUUUUUCAAUUUUAUUGUUUUUAAUGAUAACUUGUAACAUGUAUUUUACCUCUGCUUAAGAUCCACAUCGAGGAGGGGCCACUGCUGAUUAGAAUUGAGGUCUAAACACAACUACUUGAUACACUUUGGCUUGAAAAGCAAAGUGUGAAUGUGAGUGGUUUUUAAAGGAAAUUGGUAAACAUGAUUGUUUACAUUCUGAAUUGAGGUUUUGAAUUGUGUUUCUAGUGAUUCAAUUGUAUCUCAAAUGGUUUACAUUUCAAAUUUGAUUUUAAUUUUAUGAAAGCAUAUUUGUAAAUGAUUUAUGGAAACUAUGAAUAGAGUGUUUGAUAUGGUUGAUUUGAAUUAGAUUGAUUAAUAAUUGGAGCAUGGAUUACUAUAUAUUAGAUCACUUAAUGAUGAUUUUAUAGUUGGUUUUAGAUCCAUGGACAAAGACACUUAUUGAGCUUAUCUAUGUUGAUGUUAAAAUUACUAAGUGACAUGCUUUAAAUUAAAUUUUUAUAUCCUGAAUUAAGUGCUUAAAUAUCAGUAUUUAUGCCCUGUGUGUUUGGUUAUAUUGGCAACAUUGCAUGGUGGAUCCAUUAGAUAUAGAUGACAUACCAUAGGAUUAGUGAGUACUCACCACUACAUGUGUUAUUUGUGAGCAUACGGCUUUAUGAGUAUUGACAUUGCUGGAGUGAAUAAGGGAGUGUUGAGCCUUUUUUCUCCACUCAAUCAUUGGAGAUUUCGAGGAAACAUAAAGGAGUGUAUGGCUACACCCCACUGAACCGGAGUAUUGUAUUCGAUAUUUGGAAGAUUGGAGAUCCGUUUAUCCAAUGCAUGAUCACAUGUUUAUAUUUUGCUAUGGAUGUCAUUUGCUAAUAUAAGUGUGUGCUUGUUAAAUAUAAUAUGUUUUCAUAUGCCAUAAUAAAUGUGAUUUUUACUCAUGGAAUAACAUGUGGAAUUAUGAUGUUAUGAUGUUGCAUUGAUGCUGGAAAUUUCAGUCAAUUGAAUGCCAUAAUUCAGCGUGAAAAUAUAAUUGAAACUAUGAAUCAUAUAACUGAAAUUUGAUACAUGAUUUGCCUUGGUUUAAGUAUGUCUUUGGUGUGAUUUACUUAUUUAAUUUAUGGCCAUUCACUGAGAUUUUUCAGCUCACACCCUCACAGCUUUGUGCAGAGUUUUUCUAGCUUUGAGGAUUCGAGGAGCAAGGGCAAGGUUGGUCCAAGUUUAAUUCUACUUGGUAGUAUAGAUUAAGGGCUUUUCUAUAGAUAAAUUCAAGGGAAUUGUGGCACUCAAUUGGGAUAAUUUGAUACACUUGUAAUGGAUGUUUGAGACUUACAUUUGGAUAUUAAUUUUGAGAUGUUAUAUUUGUUUUUUUUUAUGUUUGGUUUUAUGGUUAAAUGUUGAGUGUAGUAUUGUAUGUUGCUAAGUGAUAACAUGGUGAUUGAAAAUAUGGUGAUUGAAGCAUGAAAUUCUCACUAAUACAUUUUAAUCGUAGUUUGUCAAGGAGUGGAUAGCUUUGUGGCUAAGGUAAGUCUAUUGUAUGUUUUAAUUGUUGUUCGUUAAGCAUGAUUUUGAAUGUUUAAAUUAUUAAACACAUGUUGUUUAUUAGUUGUAAUUAGAUUAAUUAGAGUUGUAUGUAUGAUUAAGGUAAUAAAACUUAGCUAAUAUAGCUUUAAUUAAUAAACGAAUUAAGGGAAAAUGACUAGUUAAAAAGAAUAUCAGGGGUUUCACUAAUUAAAAAUAAUAUCAGGGGUUUCAUAAAUUGACUAUAAGAAACUUAGUAACCAUUUAGAAUUAAAAUCAGGUUUGUUUAGCUUUAAGUGCUGAAAUGACCUAGAUACCCUUAGGGUUAAAUUCCUAAAGGAAGUUUUAAAAUGGUUCACAAAUCGCUUUUGCAAAAAGAUUAGAUAGUUAUUAGUUAGAAAUGGGGUGUUAUAAGGUUAGGGUGUGCUUUAGGUGAUUUUGUGCUAGAGAGUCACUUCAGUGACUAAUGUGUCUAUAACAUCCCUAACUCGUAUCCGUUGUCGAAAUAGGGUUACAGAGCAUUACCAUACAAAUAGAACAGUAAACCAUUCAAUUCAUACAUCAAUGCAAAUAUAAUCUAACUACAUUCAAUUACAUUCAUAAUGUCCCUUAAUCGAACCCUCCAGGCCCUAAAAAUACUUUAGAAAUAAUCCAGGACUAAAUCAGAAAUAUUGUACUUGUACAUCUGUUUCAAGUCACAAUACUUCUUCGUACUACCAGGAGGAAUAAAAUACGUAGUACUGUGAGCUUCAGACAAAUUAUCUCUUUUCAAAUCUGAAUCAUUUGGAACACAAAUUCUAUCACUAUAACGCAAUGUACCGUUAUCAGUAAUAUUGUACUCAGUACUGAUGUCAUUCUGAACCAAUUUUUGUUUCAACGUCAACUUUGGAUCUUUUUUUUGCAAUUCCCAAAUCCAUUGUAGAAAUAGGGGUUUGGUUCUCAACUUUGCCAGCAUAGAACCAUCUUCAUUCAGAGCUAAAUGAGCGUUCAACACUCGAAGUGCAAACAAUGACGACUUUAAACUGAGUGCAUCUGCGACCACAUUAGCCUUUCUCAGAUGAAAAUCAAUAACCAAAUUAUAACCUGUCAGUAGCUCUAACUAAUGUCUCUGUCUUAAAUUCAGUUCUUUCUAAGUCAUCAAAUACUUUAAACUUUUGUGAUCCGUAAACACAUGACAUUUCUCGCCGUAUAAAUUAUGUCUCCUAAUCUUCAAAGCAAAUACAAUCGUGGCCAGCUCAAGAUCAUGAGUAGGAUAAUUCUUUUCAUGUGGCUUUAGCUAUUGAGAAGCAUAAGCUACUACUUUUCCUACCUGCAUAAGCACACAACCGAAAUUGUUGAAAGACGCAGCACUAUAAACAACAUAUGCUACCUUAAAUUUAGGCCAAGUCAACACUGGAACUUCUGUCAACAUGUUUUUCAAUUGAUCAAAACUCUGUUGGCACUUCUCAGACCAAAUAAACUCAACAUUUUUCUAUAGUAGUCUAGUCAUCAGUGAAGCAAUAAUCGAGAAGUUUUUAACAAAACGUCGAUAGUAACCUGUUAAACCCAGAAAACUUCGUACCUUAGAAAUAUUCUUCGAAAUUGUCCAAUUCAUCACAGCAAAAACUUUACUCGGAUCAACUCAAACCCCAUCAGCUAAUACUAUGGAACCCAAAAAUCCAACCUCUCGAAUCCAUAAUUCACACUUACUGAACUUUGUGUACAACUAUUUUUCUCUCAAAGUCUGUAACACGAUUCUCAAAUGUUGAGCAUGCUUGGAUUCUAUCUUGGAAUAGAUCAAUAUAUCAUAAAUAAACACAAUAGCAAAUCUAUCCAAAUGAGCUUGAAAAACUCGAUUCAUUAAAUCUAUAAAAGCAACAUGAGCAUUAGUCAAACCAAAUGGCAUUACUAGAAACUCAUAUUGACCGUAACGAGUUUUCGUCUUUGAUGGAUCACAAUCUUUAACCUUCAAUUGAUAGUACCCGGAUCUGAGAUCUAUCUUCGAUAACACUGUGGCACCUUUUAAUUGAUCAAACAAAUUGUCAGUUCCUGGCAAAGGAUACUUAUUAAUUAUCGUGACUGUGUUCAAUUGUCUGUAGUCUAUACACAAUCUCAAAGAGUCAUCUUUCUUUUUCACAAACAAUACUGAUGCACCCUAGGGAGAUACGCUCGGUCGAAUAAAGCCUCUAUCUAAUAACUCUUGCAAUUAUGCUUUCAAAUCUUUUAAUUCAAUUGGUGCCAAACAAUACGUUGAUAUUGAUAUCAGUGUAGUUCAAGGAGUUAGAUCAAUCACAAACUCAACUUUACGAUCAGGAGGCAAACCCGCUAACUCUUCAAGAAACACAUCAAUAAACUCAUUAAUAAUUGCUAGUUUAUCUAACUUCGAUUUUGAAUCUCUGAUAUAAAAAAUGUAUGCUAGAAACGCUUCACUACCUUUGCGUAUCAAUCUCUAUGCAAAAAUAGCUGAAAUGAUUGGAACAGCAUUUUUCGGCCCAUCAGACUUAACUAAAAUCACCUAUUCUAUCUAACAUUUCAAAUCAAUCUAUUUCUGCCUACAGUUUACUACAACAUCAUGCAACGAUAGCCAAUCCAAACUGAGAAUAAUAUCAAAUUCUUGAAAGGGUAGUAACAUCAAAACAGCAGGGAAUUCACAGCUUCUAACUUUUCAUGGACAUUUACAACAAACUAAGUUAACUAUCACACUCUGACCUAGUGGAUUAGUAACUUGAAUAUCAUAUUUAGUAGAUUCAACAUAUAAUUUCUUUUUCAUUACUAAUGCAGUGCAAAUAUAAGAAUAAGUUGACCCAAGGUCAAUCAACGCAUACACAGUAACAUCAAAGAGAUAAAAUAUACCAGCAAUCGCAUUAGGAGCAGUACCUUCCUUUCUGGCUCGAAUGUCAUAUGUGCGAGCAUUUACUCUAGCCUCUGAUCAAACAACAGUGUCCUUUACUCUUGUACAAGUAGUCCAGUAGUACUAUUUUGGCCCGGACGUCUACCUUUCUGAGAUGUAGACAUUUGCUUCUCAUUUUGUUCUUCAUUUUCUUUUAACUGUUUAGGACAAUUUCAGAGAAAGUGAUCAGUCGACCCACAUUUAUAACAGAAUCCUGACUUAGUUCUAUACUAGCUAAGAUGAAAUUUUCCACAAUGUCUACAACUGGGCUUCGGAGCGUUCCGUACACUUCCCAUACUAUCAACUAGUUUAAUAGGAGCUUUAAAGUCAUGCUGAAUCGAUUUACGUUUGUUCGGAUGUUCAGACACUGAAAUAGCUCGACUAAAGUCUUAUUUAGUUUUCUUUGCUGGUGAUGCGGAAAACGAUUUAGAAGAACUUCUCUUGUGAAACUCUCGAAUCCGUUGAUCUCUUUUUAUUUACGAUUGUACACUUCUUCCAUUUUCUAUGCACGACCGAAUAAAACAAUAAAUUCUUGAAUUUCAUUACCUCCGAUCAUCAUUCGGAUUUCAUCAUUCAGGCCAUCUUCAAAUUGGAUACAGAUCUCUUCUUCAAUGGGCACAAUCUCUCGGGCAUAGUUACUAAGAUAUACAAAUUCUCUCUUGUACUCAACCAUCGAUUUAUUUCCCUGAUGUAACAUAAGAAAUUCUGUCUUUUUCUUGUCUAGAUACUAUUUCUCGACAUACUUCUUUUUAAACUCGUUCUGAAAGAUAUCACAGGAAAUUUUCUCCCUCGGUACCAAAGCUACCAACGUUGUCCACUAACUGUACGAUUCCUCUUUUAGUAAUGCAAUGAGACAUCUAAGAAAAUCAUCAGGAGGGCAAGCCAUUUCUUCGAAAACGCGUAAGAUUUUCUAAAGCCAAUACUCAGCUUUAACCGAAUCAUCUUCUGAUCUACCUCGAAAUUCUUCAGCACCACACUUUCUAAGUUUCUCAAUCGAAAUACUUCAACUAGGCUCAAUCACGAGAGGAGCUAGAGGUGCAACUGGAGGUAUAACAUGAGGUAUAAAAGGGGGUAAAGGUCAUUGACCCAGAGUAUUCAUUUGCAUAAACUCAUUGAACCAUUGGUUCAUAAAUCCAAGGAACAUGUAUUUAUGUUUAUGCUUCAGUGUUGGAUGAAUUGAAACAUUACUACUCGUCCCAUGAUUAAAGGUCGGUAAAUUACUAUUAACCUCAUCAUUGUCGACAUGAUCAGAUCCAUCUGACAUCUUUAUAAUCUAAAAGAAAAACAAAGGUUAGAUCGGAUAAAACACAUCACACUAUCACAAAUUUAUAUGGCAGGUAAUUCUAGGCAUUUCACAUGCUACGUUUAGUCUGAGAACUGACUAAACCGUAGCUCUGAUACUACUAAAUGUAACACCCCUAACUCGUAUCUGUCACCAAAAUAGGGUUAUGGAGCAUUACCAUACAAACAAAAUAGUAAACCAUUCAAUUCAUACAUUAAUGCAAAUAUAAUCUAAUUAUAUUCAAUUUCAUUCGUAAUGUCCCUUAAUCGAACCCUCAAGGCCCUAAAAAUAUUUUAGAAACAAUCCGGGACUAAAUUGAAAACAUUUGGAAAGUUUAAGAAAAAAUUAGAAAAUUUGGAUUGUAGGGGUCACACGGCCGUGUAGCCAGGCUGUGUGCCUCACAUGGUUAAGACACACACUCGUGUCUCAGGCCAUAUAACCUUCAAAAUAGGGACACACGACCGUGUCCCAGCCUGUGUACUCACCUAUGGAACUCUCUGAGCUGCAUUACACGACCAAGCCACACGCUCGUACGCUAGGCCGUGUAACGCUCAGAAUAGCCUUACACGCCCGUGUGCCAGGCCGUGUUCUAGGCUUUGUAACUGUUUGACUUGUGAGCCUUAAACCUAUAGGGGACACACGACUGUGUCGCAUGGUCGUGUGUCACAGACGGCUGAGUCAUACACCGGUGUCUCAGGCUGUGUGGACCUAAAAUGAACCUUAUACCAUAGGUUUACCAUUUCAAACUUACUUGGAUCCUAGUAAACUAUUUACCAACCAAAGCACCUAUUGAAAAUAACAUUAAUCAAGCAAAAAACAUACCAAAUCAAUCUAUUAAGUGUCUAACCAAUGUACCCUUAUUGGUACCAUAAGUAUAUACAAUUUUACAUCAAAAUAAAACCUCAAACACAACUUAUCAAUUCAUAAAAUUAACACGUAACCAAUGUACCAUUCUAUUUUCAUUGAAACAUCUACCUCAUUCACAUUCAUUAUAUAAGUUAGCAAUUCAUACAUAAUAUCUUACUUAGCAUUUUACUAUUUUCAAAACAUUAGUAAUAUCAACACAGAAGCCUAUUACAUGCCAUAUAAACCAAAUCAAACAUUUCAAAAACUAUCGAGUUAAGCUGAAUAGUGUAACUUGAGUGCUGAACUGAUCAUCCAACCUUUCGAGUAUCUACAAGAACAUUAAAUAACAAAAGUAAAAUAAAUGAAGCUUAGUAAGUUUAAUGUAUUUAAAUGAAAAAUGUUACCGAAGUAAUUACAACAAUUCAAACAAUAACUAUUCAACCAUGAAGGUUUCAUGUCAUCCACAAUCUCAACUAAAAAAUCACAUACAUUCAAUUUAAUGCUCAAAUGUAUAGCAAAUCCAUCAAAUUCGUUAAACAAAUUACCUUACUGAGAUUUUCAAUUCGAAGAAUGACUUACGGAUAGAAGCGCAUCGUCAAUCCAACCAUAACACGCCAGAUGCUCAUAUGAGCGAAUCCCUCCAAAACACACCAAAUUCUCACAAGAGCUAGUCCAACUGAAAAACGCCAAUGCUCAUAAGAGCUAGUCCAACCGAAAAAUGCCAAUACUGAUAAGAGCUAGUCCAACUAAAACACGCCAAAUAGAGAGUAUAACAGGAGACUUCGCAACAAAUACUGAACCUCAAUUUACUCGGGAAAUAAAUAUAUACAUCCCUCUAAAACCAUCUCCACUCGAAUCCCCCACAACACACCAUAUCACGAUUAUACUCUAUCCCGCAUUCAAUUCAACCCGAACAUCAAAUUCAAUAACAUAUCUCAAAUAAUCUUUCAUUAUCAUUAAUUGAAUAUAUAUAUAUUGGUAUCAUGUUAUACUAUUCAACAAUUGAUAUAGAUGUUAAAUUUUAAACCGUUCAAACUUACCUUGACUGAAUUGUAGUAGUUGUAUAAGUUUAGGGACUAUUUCGCUAUUUUUCCUUUUCCACGAGUGUCUACGAGAUCUUGAUCUAAAAUGUAAAAUUUCUCAAAUAUCAGCUUACAUUUCACAUUUCAAUCCAUUUUACAACUAAUAACCUUUUAUUUUUCAAAUUUACAUAAAUACCCUAAACUUUUAUAAUUUUUGCAAUUUAGUCCCUUAAAUCGAAACUCAUCAAAAUAACCAUUUUUGUCAAAUCAAAAUUCUAUUCAAAUAUACUAGGCCCUUCAACAAUCCCUAAUUAACAUGAAAUUCACUAUCAAACCCUAAACUUUUGUCAUUUUCACAAUUUAAUCCUAAAAUCAAAAUCUAACAAAAAUCACUUUACAAAAUCAUUGUUCAACAUAAUCAAAGAUUCAAAUACAAGGUAUCACAAGUCAUUUUGAAAGUUUGAUAAAAAAACACAACACUCAAAAAGAAAAAAAAAACCUCACCGUUAUGCACUCAAAAAUAAAAUAAAAUUCUCAAUGAGGUAAGAAUUAAUCUUGUGAGUGUUUUAAAAGUGUUUAUAUCAAUUAAUCAUAAUGUAUUAUAACCAAACUAGCAAAGAAAACCUAGUAGCACUAGGACUCUAAAAUUAGCUAGACACCAAAUAAUUAUGUUACAUGAAGGAAGGAAUGUGUAGCGUGCUUUAACCUACUAACACAAGAAAUAAUAAAGUGUUAGAAUUUGCAAAGGAAUAAAAAAAAGUGAAAACCUAAGGCUAAGAGUCAAUGAAAAUCCCUAAAACCUGGAAACCUGAAAAAUUGUGUAGUAGCUUGACAAAAUUCGUUCGAGGUGUUCUCGAUUUCAAAAAAUCACGAAAAUUGAACUAGAGCCUUACCAAAUAAUGUAGAUUUGAUCUUGAAAGUUUCCACAUGAAAUUCAACCCACAAAACCUUUUUUAAUUUGUUUAUUUUUCAUAUUUUUCUAUUUUUUUCCACUUUUUUCACUUUUUUUUGAGAAAUAUUCUUUAAUAUUGUAAAAGAGUGGUAGGAAUCAGUAUGUAAAAUUUUAUAUUGCUUGAAAAAAAAUUUAACAACUAAAAAAUAUUUUUCCCAAAAACUUUCUGGGUAAAAAGAACUAUUUUGAGGUUGUUUGGUGGAAAUCAGUGUAUAAGAACACAAAAAACACCUAAAAUGCCCAAGAAUAUGAUACAAAAUGAUACAUACUCAAUGUGUGAAUGAGUGCAAAACAUGAUUGUAAGUUUUUCCAAGUCGCAGAUUUGACUCAGAGGUCUAGAAACUUAAAACACAAACAAAUUCAAGUCAAAUAUAAAAUGUCAAAAAAAUUAAAGGAAACAAUUAAAAUAGAUAAUUAGGACAAAAAACAAGUAAAUAAAUCAAAGAUUUGAAUAAUUAAAUAGGAACAAAAUAGAAUAAAGAAGAAAACAAAAUAGAUAGAUGGUGUGUAGAAUUCCUAUAGAGCCUUGGGAACCCAAUGAAUCCACAACCCCCUUCAAGCGGCUUUUAUUUUACUUCCAAGAAAUAAAAUUUGACAAGAAAAAGCUUGAAGAAGAUCCCCACAAUAUGAAAAGAUUGUUAAAAGUCUUCUAAAAGAAAACUCAAGAGAAAUUCUUAAAAAGAAAACUCAAAGAGAAUUUUAUUAACUCAAUGUGAAUAAUAAAUGAAUUCAUUGUUGUACAAUGCAAAGGCCUUUAUAUAGGCUAUCUAAUUAAAUCUAAAUAAAACUCUUAAGUAUACUAAAACUCUAAUUAACCUAAACAAGAAGUAGUUUUAAACUAGACAUUCUUGUUGACAUAAAACUCUUAAAUAACUUAAAAUACUUAAUAAUUAUAAAAAUUCAAAAUAAAACAUAAUAAAAUAAUGGGUCUGAAAGUGGGCCUUGGUACUCAUAUUAGGGGUACUAUUGGCUCACCAUGCAAAAAGACAUAAAAACCUUCCCCCGCACGCCUGUUGAACAUGUACAUACCAUCUCUAGUCCUUAGCCUUUUGCAAAUGGGGUAUUUACAUUGUAAGACCAUUUCCAUAAGCCACAACACAUAAGAGGUAUAUUGUCAUCACCAUAGAAUAUUUUACGAAAUGGAUAGAAGCAAAAGCAUUAGCCACCAUCAAAGAAAAGCAGGUGGAGAACUUUAUCUUGAAAGUUAUCAUACGCAUAUACAAUAUCCUACGCCUGAUCAUUAUUGAUAACAUGAUGUAAUUCCCAAUAAAGUUCAAUGAAUUUUGUGAUAGCCUCCAUAUAGAUUUGGUGCUUAGUUCAGUAAAAAUCCCACAAAUGAAUGAGCAAGCAAAAGCCACUAAUAAGAAGAUCCUUUAGUGCUUGAAGAAGAAGUUAGAAUACACAAAAGGUAGAUGGUUGGAUAUAUUGCCUAGUAUCCUCAAGUCUUUAUGGACCACAUUAGACUCAGGGACAGGAGAAACCCCCUUUCAAUAUUAUGUUUAGCAUCGAAGUUGUAAUACCAGCUGAUAUUGACCUCAACACGUACCAAAUAAUUCACUAUACUGAGCAUGCCAAAGAAAACAAUCUCUAAGAGAAUCUAGAUUUCUUAGAUGAAGUGAUGAAGCACCACUUAGAAUGGAAAUCCAAGCUUCGUAGGUGGUGCAGUACUCUAAUUCCAAAGUCUACGACAAACAAUACUAGGUGGGAGACUUAAUGAUGAGGAAUGUAGAAGCUAGUCAACCAAUUGGUCAAAAAGGAAAAUUCUCAGUUACUUGGGAGGGACCUUACCAUGUAGUAGCAAUAUUGGGAUGUGGAACUUACCAAGCUCUAAAAGGAUUGUGCGUACUCACAUUUGUGAUGUGGUUUAUGGGGCAUUGAGGCCCAGGGAUAGUUUUUGGAGAGAUAAGGGAAUGUGAGCUACGCUCCAUUCACCAGGAUAUGUAUGUUUGGUGUGUUAGAGAGUGUUAACGAUACGUUUCACUUAUGGGAUAUGUACGACUCUAUGAGUCAUUAUUAGUGUGUUGGAGAUCCGUGUAUUCGAUGUAUGGUGAGAGAGUCCACAUUAUGUUUAAUAUCCUCAAGAUUCAAACUAUCAUAAAACGUGAUUGAAAGUGACUAAAUGUGAUUAAAAUGUGCUUUGAUAUAUGCUUAACUAUUUAGGUGAUUAUUGAGAUAUAUGUGUAAUGGAAUUAAUGGAAGAUGCUUAUACAUGUGAAAUAUGAUAUUAGAGUUUAAUAUGUUAUGAAUAUGAGAUAUGUCUGUUUACAAAGUGGUUAUUCUAAGCAUUCACUGAGCUUGUUCAGCUCACCUACUCCAUUUUAAGCUUUGCAGAGUAGGUGCGUUCCCGGUGUGAGCAGUGUGGCCUUCAAGGGAUUGAUCCAAGUCAUUCUUUAGUCACUAUAGUAGGUAUUGCUAGUUAUUUUUUAUAUGGGAGUUUAGGGCAAUGUGGUAGAUUUUAUAUUGGUUUUGCUACGACAUUUUUGGGGUAUUUGCAAGGUAUUUAUGUUUGGAGGUAUGUGGACUUGAAUAUGAUGCUUGGACUGUUAUUUUGGAUAAUUUGAUGUUUAUUUAACUAGGUGAAUGAAACUUGUUAUUUAGGGUUGUGUUUGAAUGUUUUUAUUACUGAUAUAUGCUGAAAUUCGAUAGUCUGAAGCAGAGGUAUUGAUAUGUGGGUUUUAAAAAUGAUACAUGUGUAAAUUCAAAAGUGUAGGGAGUUAGAAUAUAGAAUUGGUAUCGAUACCUUGGCCCGAGUAUCGAUACUCGAGGUAAAAUAAUAAAUACCUUGCGAAUGGUACCGAUAGUUGUUGACGUUUGGAAAUUUUGGUGAGAAACAGAAUGCAAGUUUGGUGUCGAUUUUUCAUGUGGUAUUGAUACCACUUAAAGAAAAUAUCAAUACCACUCUUUUAGCAUCGAUACCUAUCUAAAAUGUUUUGGAAAAUUAAGUGGUCCCAAUGCUCGAUGUAUGUCCAUUUUAUGUUUGUUCGUCAAAUGUUAGCAUGGUUAAACGUUAAUUUGAGUUUGCAUGUCAUAAUAUUCGCAUGAUUGCUAUAGUAACAAAAGAAAAUAAUGAUGUAUGUGUACUAAAUGUGACAAUUAUGAUGAAAUCGAUGUGAGACGGUAGUGUAGUGUCCUAGUAUUUUGGUUCGACGACUAGGCUGGGUAUAAGGAGUUAUAGAUCGAGUCGAGUAUAGGUUGCUACAGUAAUCCUCCCCCAUGUAUCUGGGAAAAAGUUAUUAUUGCUCCUUUAUUCUGAUAAAUAUUUGUGUUAAGCCAGUGAACCAUUCACAAGCAAGACAAUAUUUCUAUGAAAGAGUAUAUUCUAACACUUACUACUUAGUUCAAUUCACAACAAACAUUUAGAGAGAAUAAUUUGAUUGAAUACUUCAACUAAUGACUGCUCUCCUUACAAAACAAUCAAGAGUCAGAGUAUUUGGAAUUUAAAAAGAAACUAUCAAAACAUAUGUUAUAUAGAGUCACUAUUAUGAAUACCAUUCGUAAAACAUGCCAAGAAGAGCAAAGAAGGAAACAGUCAAAUGCAAGGCAUUAAAGAAACGCAUAAAGUAUUAUUCAUAUAAAGAUAUAGUACAACAUACACCAAUUAUCAAUAUCUAAACCCUCACUAGAAUUUACAAGAGGCUUCUUAAUGGGUAGAUCCUUACCAACAUCAGAAGUAUUGGUUUCCCCCUCUGCUGCACCCUGGACUUCUAAGCUCUCCCCUUUGAGAAUGGUUGUUACACAUUGAGCUCUCAUCCUCUCGACAUACUCUUCCCACUUGUGACCAUCAGGAUAAAAAAAUCUAACUCGAGGUCAUCUCUCUCGUAAGUGUUAACCCAUUGAGUGGUUUAAUAUCUAUGUUGUGGAUGUAAAGAUGGCUAGAUGUAAUUGCAUUCACAUUGCUCUGUCUGCAGCUUCUCCCUCAACUGGGCCAAGGCUUUUUAGGCUACAUCUCAUUCCUUUUUAUAAGCAUUUGCUUGGCCUUUCCAAUACUUGAUGUCAUCCCAGGCCUUUUUCUCAACAGCUUUAAGCUUCCCCUUAGCUAUCUUUACCCAAUCCUCGAUGACUUUGAUCCUUAUUUUAGUUGUACUAGAGGAGUCAUGGAAGUCCACUAUAAAGUGCAUAGACAUCUCAAUAGUAACCCUUGUCCCCUUAAAGAGAUUUUUAAAGCCUGCACAAGUAUCACGUUACAUCCAUCAGGAUAUGAUAACAUAACUUGCAAGAAUUGUUCAUCACUCAUCUAAGGGAAGUAUUAUAGAGUCUGUUGUAUAGGAAGGCACCAAUUGUGUACUACCAAUAGGAGGGUUAGUAGAAGUUUUAGCAUAUUUAUCCUUCCCUUCGCCUCCUGUAAUGGGAGUUCUCCAUCCUUCACCUUUGGGAAGGGUCUACACUGAAUUGUCCUUCACCCUCUUCCCAAAGAAAGAUUUCGCAAUAAUAUUCCUCCCUAAACCAAAGGAGGCAUUUUUUGUAGUGUCAUCCCGUCCCCUUUUGGGAGGACGUUUUAUUGAGUUUUUUCCGCUAUUAAGGGUGCUCGCAGUGUUCGAUUAGGUAUCAAGGAGAUGCAUCUCUUUUUCCCAAGUAUAGUAAGCAAAACAUCAGCAGCAAUAGGGUAUUUGCUACUCGUCAUACCUUCCGAACCUACACAAAGAACAGAAGUUAGAAUAGUAUUAGUAUCAACACAAACAAACGCACAAGACAAACACUCACGUUGUUUUCGUUUCUUAGAAUGAAAGGGGAACACAAGUCCCUCAUUGUCAAUAUCUACAUCAACCUAGUGUAUACCCUUAGAGAGGAAUACUUCCAAGUGUUUCGUUUUAGCUAAACUAUAUUACAAUUUGACCCAUGUACUUACGAACACCACCAUUUUAAUCGUAUAUAUAUAUUUGGUAUUAUUUUUACUAUAAAUGAUAACUCUUUUAUAGGCGGUCAAGUUGUUGGUGUUGUUGUCAGGGAGGUUUCAAAAAUAAAUUUUAAAAAUAUUUUUUACAAUUAAUAAGAUAAGUAGGAACAUUAAAGCUUAUAGGUAUGAUUUUUUUUUAUUUUAUUGUUAGUAAAUUUAGAAGAGGAACAUUAUGGAAACUCUGAUGGGUAGAAAUAUUUUUUUAUAUAAAUUGGCUAAAACCUAGUAAUGCUCAUCUAGUAAUGAGUACAAUUCCAUUUAAGAUUAAUCUAUCACAGUUGGAUUCCUUUAAAUCCAGAAACUCGGAACCUUUAGGGGUUAAAUUGAAAGAGGCCAAAAGUUGGCGAUCUCUACUGAAAAAUCAGGAAAAGAUAACAAUUAAAAUUGGACAAGAUUGAGAACCAAGUAUGGUUCGGUUAGAUUAGAACCAUUCGGUUCCUUAGUGGGGAACAAAAUGAUUAAGAAUGGGUGGAUGUAAAACAGUUGAGGAUCAUGCGGGAAAGGCUAUACAUAGUUGGGAAAUGACUUCUCGGGAGACUUCUUCUCUAGUCUAUUUCAUUUUUCUUCUUUAUCUUCAUCCUUAGUAGCUCCUAGAAGAGAUGGCUAUCAGAAAGCUCUACAUGGAGCGAUAACAAUGGAAUUUCAGUAGGAAAUGAGGGGAGUUCAGUGAGCUGGUAAGGCUCUAAGCCAUUCAUGGUACAGAAUAUUUAGAAACAAAGUGAAGAGUUUCUAGAAACCAUUUUUAAGGGUUCCCAAUGUUUCUAGAAAACUAAGUUUAAAUGGAGAUUUUUUAGUUUAACCCAUGAUUUGGUUGUCAUGCUUAGCUGCCAGGAGAAUGGAAGCUCUAGUGUUUGGGAAAGGCGAAUAAGCAUCAGGUGAGUUUAUGUACUUAAACAUGGAACUAUCAAAUUUUAAUGCAUGGUUUCACAAGUUUAUGAGCAUCCACCAUUUUUUAGUAUACAUGGUAAUGGAAAAUAAUGAAACGGGAUCAAUGACGGGUUAGACGAAGUUAGGAAUGGGAAAAGAGAGUAAAUCUAUUUAAUACUGCCAUAUUGUAUUGCUGAAAGCAAAUCGUGAUGUGUGAAAAGGGCACUUCGGUGUUCAAGCAUCAAGGUAUAUGAUGGGGAAAUAUAGGAAUGGAUAAAAUGAAAUAGGAAGAGUAAAGAUCAUGGCUAUGCCAUGGGACUGAUCGGAGGCAAUUCGUCUAAACUGACUAAGACUAUAGUAGAAAGAUGUUAUGGCAUCAGGAUGAAAAUGAGUAAGACCAUGGCUGAAAGAUGUUAUGACAUCAUGGAAAAUAGGAGUAAGAGCAUAGUUGGACUAUGGAAACAUGGAAACCCAGGCUGUCCGUCGGGACAAUAAUAUUGGGGUAAUAAUGUGUAAGACCAUAGCUAAAAGAAGCUAUGGCAUCAUAGAUAAUCCAAUGAGACAUUCAAAUAGGAUAGUGUAACGGGAUGUUAAUCACGGGACAGUUCUUCAAGGCACUAAACACGGGAUAGUCUGUCGGGACAGUAAGCAACGGGACCAGGUGAGUAAAACCAUGGCAAGGUUAUGGUAGCUUGUGGAGACCAUCAAGAUUCUAAACAUGGAAUAGUCCACUGGGACAGUAAACACGAGCGCUUAUCCAAAAUGGUAAUUGUUGGAAAAGUUAAAACAAGGAAAAAGGUUAGAAGAAUGAUUAAAGUAUGUGGCACAAUGGAUAGCGAGUUGAAGGAAUCUGCCAAUAAUUGAAGAAUGUAAAGAAAAUGAGAAGCCACUACUAGAAUGGUAGGUUUGUAAGCCAGCAGGGCAUACAGGUGGUAACCCCACCAGAAAGAGUUAUGGGAAAGGACAUACUAGUAGUGUCUGGUGUGCAAGCAAAUACAGGAUGGCUAACCAUGGAUCAUAGAUAAAGAUCCGCCAUUACUAAUUGUCAAAAGGUGCUUAGAAAAACCCUGUGAGCUAGAGAUUUGAUAUAAGGUAUAUUUGUUAGUUUACGAAAAAAAGGGUUAGAGAGAACCCAUUAAAUGAAUGGUCGACACCAACACACUACCAAACAUGUUCAUGCAAUUUCCAUCGCUAGGAGAAGAAGAAGAUGAUGAGGAUGAGUCAGAGCCUAAUUCCGACUAAUUUUGAAUAAUUUUUAAUUUGGACAUUGUACUUAAGUUUGUUUCUUUGGGAUGAUGGUUAUUGGUUUGUUUUAAUUUUUUUAAGAACUUUGGUAUUAUAUAUAAAAAGAUAUUGCAUUUUUCUUAGCAAGAGCCCAAAUUUUUUGAUGGGCACUACCUAAAAGGAGUAUUCCCACCAAUCGAGCUGCACAAAUCACGCCAAUCAGGUGUAUCCUCUUUCCUUUAUAUUUUUAUUGUGCAUUAAGGGCAAUCUACUGAAUAAAGUGUGGGGUGACUUAGGAAAAUUUUUAAAAUUUUUUGUUAUUUUAUUUUCCUUUAUUUUAAGUAGUUUUUAAAUUUUUAAUUGCAUGUUUUCUAUAUGAUUGAGUUUGUAGAAAUACAAGUGAUUGGUUAUAAGCAUGUUAAUAGGAUUGUGUGAAUAAAUUGUAAAAAUAGUUUGAUAAUAAUUGUUUCUAAAUUUUUAAUUUUAGACUACUGAGUUUAAUUCAUUACAUUUUGAAUAGAUUUAAGAUGUUAAGUAUACCAUGUGAUAAAUAAAUAUAUAAAAAACAUGCAUGUUUAAUUGAAUUAUAAGCUAUAGAAAUUGAUAGACAUGGCGAAUUUAAUCCAUGUAUAGAAUUACCUAUGGACGACCUAAGGCAUUAUUUGGUAGACAACUUUUUAAGCCAAAAAGCUAUCCCGUAAAUAUUUUCCCUAGUACCUAUUUUGAGCCUUAAUCCAUUCUCUUAAUGAAACCGACAUGAAACCUUAAGCCUAUUACACAUUCUAUUUGAUCCCUUAUUUCUUUGUCCUUGCAUGGAUUUAGACGUCCAACCAUCGAUAUUGAGAGAUUAAGUACAUACAUCUCGGUGGUUUAAUAAAAAUAAAAAAAUUGAGUGAACUAAGGAAUUGUAAGGUAUAGUGAGUAUAAGAUUUUGAGCUUAUAGAAAAAUAAGGCAAAAUGCAAAUCGAUAAAAUAUUGAUGAAAAAUAAAAACAAACUAAUUUGGAAAAAAGUACGCUCAUAUUUGUUCAAAAACAAAUUACGAGCUCAAAUGAUUGUACUCAUGAAUAUUAUACGAUGCCUUAGUAUAUGGAGAAAUAAGGCAGGUGAGAGAAGCAGAUAUAAGGUGGUGAGCUUAUGUAUACUUUGGGGAGUUUUGGGAACAAUAUCAUAUGCCAAACUACCUUCGUGGUGAAUCAUUUUGUCGAGCCUCAUCUUUGAAUUCCAAACCAACCUCAGUUGCGGAACGUUAGAAGCCAAAAAGUGCUAUGUGACUUAGGUAGUACCUUACAAGGAUGAAAUUGUGUCGAGUCUUGAUGGUUUUACCACUUAUAGUCAUUUGAACCUACGUGUAUAUUUGUACAUAUAUUUUGAUGAAACCUUAUACUUAAAAUUGUUUUAUUUGUUUGGCUUGUAACUUGUCGAACUAACCCGUCUAACUUUAGAAAUUGUGAGUCAGUUGUAUAGUACUCUAGAAUUACAUAUUUAUUUACCUUGUCCUAUUAAUAUAUUUCUCUCCAAUUUCCUUUAUCAAGUUAGCUUGAGUACAUUUUCUUUCCUUUGUAUAAUUAUUUAUUAUUUUUCAGUAGUUCGCUUUUAGCUUUUAAUUUGUUUUUGUUUACUUCGCUUGAGGACAAGCAAACACUUAAGUAUGGGGAUAUUUGACUUGUCGUCAAAUGUAGUAGUUAAUUCAGGUUAUUUUCGCCCUUAAAGAGUUAUUUUUCUAGGUAAUUUAGUUUUUAAUAUUAUGUUUUCAUUAUUUAGUAUUUAGAAUUAAAUAUCAGUGAAAUAAGUGUUUUUAACAAAUUUUACGAGUGUUGUGACCCAUUAGGCCAACACAGGCCUCGAGUAGUGCUAAUAUGUUCAACUGAGUGUUUAAGAUGAAUGAUUAUAGGUGUAACAACCCAGUUUUAGUGGUGUCAAAAAUAGUGGUUUCAAGACCACGACUCCAACAAGUGAGUUAUUAUUUUAAUAAUUAUUUAAAGUCAAGCAUUUGAUUGUUAUUUUUGAGUGCAUAAUAGUGAGGUUUGCUUAAUUUUUCUUUUCAUGAGUGUUGUGUUCUUUUUAGGCUUUCACAAUGAUUCACAAUAUUAUGAUUGGGAAGUUGAGAAUGGAUCAAGAUGUUCAAAAUGCUCGAGAUUAGUAACGUGACACUAUUCUAUACACAAUCAACAAAAAUUUAAAAUGUCUAAGUACAAAAAUUGAGCGUCAGAAUCGUAAUUGGGGAGAUAAGAUUGAUCAGCCUUGUCUUCGUGCAAAUAAUGCUUGACGUGUCUCUCGUAAAAAUGAUAAGACUUUGGUUAAUAAUGAUUUUAGGCAACAUGUUUUAGCUAAACCAAAGUUCAACAUUCCACCAUUUUAAGGGAAGUAUGAUCCCAAAGCAUAUUGUGAGUGGGAAUCAAAAAUUGAACUUAUGUUUCAUUACUAUAAAUGUCGGGAAGAGGAAAAAUUCCAAUUGGAAUUGAUUGUCAAAUGAACUACGAAAGGGUAAUUGAAACAUAGGAUGAGUUGAAGCAAGUGAUGUGAAGCGUUAUGUUCCUUCUCGUCACUAUAGAAAGGUCUCAAUAAGACUUCAACACCUUGUUCAAGGUAAUCGAUUUGUUGAUGAGUACUUUAAAGAGAUGGAGAUGCUUAUGCAAAGAGAAAAUAUAUGGAAGGAUGAAUAAACUACCAUGGUGCGAUUUGUAGAUGGCUUGAACAUUUCGAUAGCCAAUGCUCUUAAUCUUCAAACCUAUAUUGAUCUUGAGGAGAUGGUACACAAGGUAAUUGAGACUAAGCAACAAUUUCAGCAACAUAAAUCUCGUCCACUUGGCGCAUCACACUAUUAUCGAGGUACAAGUUCUAAUUCUACUUUCAAGAAUUCAAAACCUUCUUAUGCUAUUAAUAAGUUGCUGCCAAAACAUGCUAUGACUAAACCUUUUGAGUGGAAAAGUAAGGCUCUUACAGAACAUUCUUCUACAUCUUUCAAGCAACUCAUUUCUACUAAUUUUUCACUAAAACAACAAAGAGCUUGAGACAAUGAAUGUUAUACGUGUAAAGGGAGUGGACACUAUAGUCGUGAUUGUGCCAACACGAGACUUUUGUUGAUCAAAGAAGAUGACGAACUUUGUGAAUCAGAAAAAAAUGAUAAUGAGAAUUCUUUCCUUGAAUCUAUAGAGUUAGAUGAAAUAGAAAUGUCAUGCUCUCCUACUGAGAUAUAUUGUAUUGAAUUGAAUAUUCAUAAUACUUGUGAGAGGGAUAUGGGAAGUGAGAAAGAAUCAUGUGAAAAGACAGAGAGAAAAGAGACCUUAAGUGAUAAAAGUCUACUUGAUGGUCCAAAUUUGGUGAGUGAAAAUCCAUAUGAGUUACAAUUGGAGAGUUCUCAAGUGGAAAGAGAAAAUAAAAAGUAAGAAAAUACCCAUUCAAAAGUAAGGAGUGAUUAUGUUUUAACUAACCCUAACUGUAAUGCCACAAAAUUUUUAAUUUCAUUAUUGUGAAAAUAUGACACAUAUUUGUCAGCUUUAGUGGUUAUGUGUUCUUGGAGUGUUUGGGAGGUCCCAAGUUCAAGCCUUCGUUUGGGAAAAUUUUGGUAUUUUGAAUGAAUUAGGCCUUACUCUUGUUAAGUAAGCUUUUAUUUGAUUGUUAGGUAAAUUACAUCAGAAUGGGCAUGCUGGUCUGGUGGUUAAAUGGUGUGUUAUUAUGGUAGAGGUCUUGUGUUCGAAUUCCUAUGCAGGCAAGGGUAUUAUUUUUUUGCUCUGAUAUCGGCAUAAGUUGUGUAAUAGGGGGAUUUUGAGUAGUGGAUGUGUAGUGGGAAUUAGGGGAGAAGAUUAAGGGAUUUUGGGGGUUAUCGGGAUUUUAUUUUAUUUUUUUCCUAUAAUCGAAUUUUGACUCUCUUUUCCAAAAAAAUUAUGCCAUCUAUUCUUCUCCCUCACCUCUUGCCGAAAUUCUCUAAUUUUUUCCAUCUUUCUCUUCUUUUUUUUCUUCUUGAUUUUUCCUUCAUCCAUUUAUUUUCCUUCGUUUUCGCACGCGGUUGGUGCUCGCUUAGUUUCAAUAAGUGUUUCUCUUCGUUUCUGUCAUGAAUCUCUUAGCGACUAAAGUGGUAAUGUUUUUUCGGUAAGUGUUUCCCUUCGUUUCUGUCAUGAAUCUCUUAGUGACUAAAGUGGUAAUGUUUUUUCUCUGUGAUUUGGGCGUAGGAGGAGGCUCAGACUGGUGAAUUCAGUGUUCUCAUCUUAACAAUAGUUAAACUGAGGAUUAUCGUUGGUGGUAAGUUGGGUUUUUGUUCGUUCUUGGUUGUCAAUUCGUUUGUAAAUCCGUAAAAUUGAUGUUGAGUAUCUUGAUUAUAGGCUUUGGAGUGCUCGGGAAUUGUUUUAGCAUCAAAUAAAACCAGGUGUGUACCCAAAAUGACAAAAAAAGGGAUUCAACAAAAAGCUGAAAUUGCUUGCUGUUUGGACAACAGUAGUAGGCUAAUUUUGAAAAAUUGCCAUAAAUUGAGGAAAUCGUAUUAAUGAUGAAAAAAAUAUGGAAUUAAAGUUUAUUGAGUCUAGUUUCUCAUAGAAGAAACGGUGUAAAUAAUGAGUUCGGGUUUCCCUGUUCUGACUUUAGAAAAUCAUCAAAAAUUAGAGAAAAAUAAUUAGGGGUUAAAAUUUACAAGUUUAAAUUAUUAAUGAGUCUAUUUCCAGUAGAAACAAAUGGGUACUUCAUCCAAAUUUUUUACUAAGAGAUAAUUAUUUUUUAGCAAAGAAGGGUCGAAGCUGUCAGACAACAGAACAAGGGUAAGUUUUAAGAUUUUACUGUAUUUAUUGGCUAAACAAAAAAUUCUACAAAUUUUAUGGUAGAAAGGUAUUUGAGUCUAGUUUCAAAAACGUCAAGCGAAUUUUAAUUCGGAAUUCUGUAGCUCAAGAUGUAAAUAAUUUAGUAACAGUGACGCAAGUAGACAGCUUUGAAGGAACACAUAAAUAAAUAGUGAAAACAUAUAUGAAUAUUUAGCUAGCACGGGUUACAUUAAAAAUGGAUCACGUGGCCAAGGCCAAUUUGGCCCAAGUGGGCAACAUGGGCAUGUGAGCCUAUUUUUCUGAAAAUUUUUGUAAGGUUGCACUAGUCGCCCAAGUCGACUGUAGACCAACUGUAGGGUCGGUUGGUGAUAUCUAAAUGUAUGUACUAUGAAUUGCAUAAUGGCAUGACAUAUUUUGUAUGUUGCAUUGCAUCGGAGUGGGUUGAUGAUAUUUGGAGGAAGUGUCUGAAAGGCUAUUCAGCCUAUUAUCUGGCAGCUUAGCUGCAACCUUCUGAUUAUGUGCCACAUUUCAGUACAGCAUGGUGUGUAGGGAUAGGUGGGUUGAUUUAAUCCCCACAUGGUGUGUAGGGUUGGACAGAGAUGGUGUGUAGAGGCUGGUGGGUAGGAUUCUGAUUUACUGUAUUUGCAUUCUGUAUCUAAUAUAGGCCAAGGCCUUAAUGUAUUUCUAAGACUGUAUCUGAACAGGCUAAGGCCCAAACUAAUUCUGUGAUGGGCACAGGCCCAGACUGUAUCUAACUGAAUUAUGUUGAUUAUCUGUAUGCAUGUUUUCUGUGCGGAUUACACACCGAGUUUGUAAAAACUUACCCUUUCUCUAUUUAAUCUGUUCAGGUAAUCCCCAUACUUGACGGGUCAGUGUAGCGGAGGACUCGACCGUGGCCACACGUAAAUUUUAGACUGUUUUCUGUUAAUGUCUAGAAUUUAUUACUUAUUUGGGGUUUUUUAUGUAACUUUUGGACUAUGGACUGGUUGGCUUUAAGUUUGGGACUUUAUACUAUUUUUAUGAAUUUUUUAAACUGCAACUACACAAUUUUUCAAAAACUAAGGUUUUCGUAAAUAAAAGCGAUUUUCCCUAAAUUAAUUGGUUACAAAAGCUUCCGCUAAGAGACAAGUUUUAAAGCAAAUCAACUAGUACUUAUUUUUUUCUGAAUUAAAUAAAAGUUAACUAACUGUAACGGUUUUAACUCGACAAUCUUGUCUUCAAAUCCCAUUUCAUGUGACAUCGCCAGAUUCAGCCUUAACAUCUAGGCUGGGUUUGGGGUGCUACAUUUAGUGGUAUCAGAGCAAGGUUGCAAAACUAGACUGUGGAUUUGGGUUUUAAAAAUUGGUUUUAAAGAAAUGAUUUUUAAAUGGUUUGAAAUAUUUUUGACUGAGUAUGUGGUACACCGAGUCUCCGGCGUCAAUUCUGUAAGUGUUCUAAAAACUAUGAUAAGUUUUUAAAAAUAUGAGUAGCGUAUUCUGAAACUAUUAUAGGUAGUAUAUUGUACUGAGAACAUUGUAGAUAGUGUAUAGUGAAAAAAGUAGCAAAAUUGAAAACUGUAGUAAGACUGCGAUUCGUGAUAACAAACUCUAAACUUCUAAUACUAUUUUGCAUAAAAUAUUUACUAAUAGAUAUCAAAACUGUAACUAAUUCAUAAAACUAUUAACACAGACAAGUUACGAAUUCUAAGAUGAGCGCACGAGGUAUUCGCGAACAGGAUACUAGAGGCCGAGGUAGAGGCUGUAGAGGGGCUCGAGCUGAGUCCUUGUCGUUAGGUAGCAUGCCAAAUCUAGAUAUGUGCGAGACGCCGGUUUCACCUGCUACAGAGGCUGGGUCUCAUGAUCAUAUGGCCAGGGACAACACCUUGUCCUAGGCUAUGCUGAGGAUAUUAGAGAGGGUCACUCGGCCCAACACUAGAUCUGAGAGUCGAAGGUGAGUUACAGGACGACUCCGAUCUAAUAGGGCUGAACUAUUCAGGGGUGUCACUAGAGUCGCCCCUAGCCUGGUCGAGUACUGGAUGGAGGCCACGGAAAGAAUCGUGGACGAUCUAGACUUUACCCUUGAACAGAAAUUGAAAUGGGCUAUUUCCUUGCUUCGCGAUGAAGCAUGCCAAUGGUGGCUGACUGUUAAGGAGGGCACUCAGCCCGAAUGAUUGACAUAAGAUUUCUAUAAGUCUGCUUUCUAAGGUAAAUAUGUAGGGGCAAGCUACAUCGAUGCUAGAAGACGUGAGUUUCUGAAUCUCACACAAGGGGAUCGUUCAGUGGCCGAGUAUGAGGUCGAGUUUCUGAGAUUGAGCCGCUAUGAGUGAGGCAUGGUGGCGACUGGAUAUAAGCACUGUGUCCACUUCGAGGAUGGACUCAGGGAUAGUUUGAGAGUUCUGAUAGCUCCGUAGAGGGAGCAUAACUUUUUAGCAUUGGUAGAGAACGCGAAGAUCACCGAGGAGGUGAAGCACACUGAGCGGCAAAACUGGGAUAAGGAGAGAGGCAAGAAUAAGAGGGAUUCGGAGCCCUCGAUUUCUGGGAUGAGGCCUAAGAAAAAUGACAGAUCUGGUGGGAUAGUUAGAGUUAGGGCCCCUGUUGCAUCUACUGGAAUCACGCUUUGCGGACAUUGUGGAAGGCGCCAUCUGGGUGAAUGUUGGAGGACGACUGGGGCUUGUUUAGGAUGUGGGUCUACUGAGCACUGUGUUGGGGAGUGUCCGCUGAGGACCAAUCAGGUGCAAGUUACGGGUUCUGGUACUGCACAGCCAUCGAGGGUAGUUCAGCAACCGCCUAGGGGCCGUGAUCAGGCUAGGAGUGAUAAUGGUAUGGGUUAUGGGCAGAGAGCACCAGGCAGAGGUACUGGACAGGCUGAAGCGAGAUAAUCGGCCCUAGUUUAUGCUACUCGUCGCCAAGAGGAUAGAGAUGCUCCGUACGUCAUCACGGGUACGUUUCUUAUUUUUGUUGUGCCUUACACUGCAUUGAUAGAUAUAGGAUCUACGCAUUCCUAUAUUGUCUGUUCUAUUUUCAAAAACCUAGAGAUUCUGGUUGAGAGUACUUUUAGUGAGGUGACUGUGCUGAGCCUGCUGGGGCAAUUUGUUACAUUUACCAAACUGUACAGAGAUGUUCCCUUAGAGGUUCAAGGGGCAGUAUUUCAGGCUGAUUUGAUGGAGCUUCCAUUUUGGGAGUUUGAUAUGAUAUUGGGGAUGGACUGGUUGGUCAAGAAUCAUUUCAGUUUGGAUUGUGCGACUAAGAGGGUCGUAUUGAUAACUGAAGGGGGUAAUAUAGUUGUGAUUGGGGAACGCCGGAAUUACUUAGCUAACAUGAACUCUACACUGGUAGCUGAGAAACUGGUUCGCAAGGGAUGUGAUGCGUAUUUGGCCUACGUAAGUGUUUUCGCUGCUUGGGACUCUACUAUUAAGGACUUCAUAACUGUGAGGGAUUUUUUAGACGUCUUUCCUGAGGAGCUACCAGUUUACCUCCAAAUCGAAAGUGGAGUUCUGGAUUGAGCUUUACCCUGGUACAGCUCCGAUGUCUAUCGGUCCCUAUCGAAUGGUACCGAAGGAGCUUACUGAUCUCAAGGCUCAAAUUCAAGAGUUAUUGGAUCAUGGGUUCAUCCGCCCUAGUGUGUUCCCAUGGGGAGCACCGAUACUGUUUGUUAAGAAAAAAAAUGGAUCCAUGAGGAUAUGUAUCGACUACCAACAACUAAAUAAGUUGACUAUUAAGAACAAGUAUUCACUUCCAAGGAUUGAUGAUUUGUUUGACCAGUUCCGAGGGGUGUCUGUUUUUUCCGAAAUUGACUUGUGUUCUGGGUAUCAUCAGUUGAGGGUUAAGGAGGCUGAUGUGCAUAAGAUGACAUUUAAGACUCGUUAUGGUUACUACGAGUUCCUAGUGAUGCCAUUUACAUUGACUAAUAUACCGACAACUUUCAUGGAUCUGAUGAACCGAGUGUUUCAGCCCUAUCUAGAUCAGUUUGUAGUGGUGUUCAUUAAUGACAUAUUGGUUUAUUCGAGGACUGAGGAUGAGCAUGACGAGCACCUUAGGAUUGUUCUUCAUAUUUUGAGGGAAAAACAGCUCUAUGCUAAGUUCAGUAAGUGCGAGUUCUGGUUACAUGAAAUAACAUUUCUAGGUCAUGUGGUGUCUGCUGAGGGAAUUCGCCUAAGAAUGUGUCUGAGAUCUGCAGUUAUUUGGGGUUGGCAGAUUAUUAUCGACGGUUUGUGGAAGGAUUUUCACUGAUCGCAGCACCCUUAACUAAGCUGUUAUGUAAAGGUGUACCAUUUGACUGGACUAAUGCGCAGCAAGAGAGCUUUCAGAAGCUUAAGACUGUACUGACUAAGGCUCCUGUUUUGGUACAGCCUGAACCUGGAAAGGAGUUCACUAUUUAUAGUGAUGCAUCACAUGUCAGUUUGGGAUGUGUAUUGAUGCAAGAUGGUAAAGUGGUUGCAUAUGCGUCUCGUCAACUUAAGACACACGAGGCAAACUAUCCGACGCACAAUUUGGAGUUGGCCGCCGUAGUCUUUGCAUUGAAAAUCUGGAGGCAUUAUCUAUACGGUGAGAAAUGUAUUAUUUACACUGAUCAUAAAAUCCUCAAGUAUCUCCUCACUCAGAAUGAGUUAAAUCUUAGGCAGCAUAGAUGGGUUGAGCUACUUAAGGAUUAUGAUUGUACCAUUGAGUACCAUCCUGGCAAGGCCAAUGUGGUGGCCAAUGCAUUGAGCCGUAGGGCUAUGACCGAUCUGAGAGUGAUGUUCGCUCGACUUAGCCUAUUCGACGAUGGAAGUCUAUUGGCAAAACUUCAGGUCAAACCGACAUGGAUUGAAUAGAUUCGAGGUAAACAGUUGGGGGAUAAGUCUCUCAGGUUGUGUUUUCGUCAGGUUGAGAAUGGUGGCACUACUGAUUUUAGGAUAAACAGUGAAGCAGUACUUUGUUUUUGUUGUCAGAUUUGUAUAUCGAAUGAUGAUGAUUUAAGGCAAUCGAUUCUGAGAGAGGCGCAUGGUAGUCCCUAUACUAUGUAUCCCGGUUGGAACAAGAUGUACCGAGAUCUUUGGGAAUUGUACUAGUGGCCAGGGUUGACGCAUGAGGUUACAGACUUUGUUGGUCGCUGUUUGACUUGUAAGCAGGUUAAGCCUGAGCAUCAGUUACCUUCGAGUUUGCUGCAGCCGGUUAAGAUACCGUUAUGGGAGCGAGUAACGAUGGACUUCGUUAGUGGGUUGCCUCUAACACCCACUAAGAAGGAUUCUGUCUGGGUACUCGUGGAUCAAUUGACAAAGUCUACUCACUUCAUCCCAGUAAGGACAGACUUUUCUCUUCAAAAAUUAGCUAAGCUCUACAUAUCGAAAAUAGUGAGACUACAUGGGGUACCUGUCUUGAUCAUUUUCGAUAGGGAUCCUCGUUUCACGUCUCGGUUCUAGAAUAAGCUUCAUGAGGCUCUGGGUUUAAUAUUAGACUUCAGUACUGCUUUCCAUCCUCAGACAGAUGGUCAGUUGGAUAGGGUGUAGAGGACAUGUUGAGGAGCUAUGUUAUUGAUUUUCGAGGCAGUUGGGAUGAGUACUUGCCGUUAGCGGAGUUUUCCUACAAUAAUAGCUUCUAGUCUAGCAUCCGGAUGGCACCUUACGAGGCACUGUAUGGUCGUAAGUGUCGCACUCCUUUAUGUUGGACAGAGUUGGGCAAGUGACGUGUUCUAGGUCCUGAGUUGGUCUCUGAGACAGAGGAUAAGGUUAGAUUGAUUCGAGAUCAUUUGAAAGCAGCUUCUGACAGGCAGAAAUCUUAUAUGGAUUUGAAGAGGCGUGAGAUCAGGUAUUCUGUGGGGACUUAGUUUUUCUUAGGGACUCGCCAUGGAAAAAGGUUCUAAGGUUCGGUCGCAAGGGCAAGCUGAGCCCUCGUUUUGUUGGACCUUACCGCAUUCUGAAAUGUGUGGGACCUGUUGCUUAUCAGUUGGAGUUACCUCCGAAGUUGGACCGUAUUCAUAAUUUUUUUCACGUCUCGAUGUUGAGGCACUAUCGCUCUAAUCCCAUGCAUGUUGUUUUUAUUGAGGAGAUUGAGGUUAGGCCAGCCUUGACCUUUGAGGAGGAGCCAGUUCAGAUUCUGGAGCGUGAUGUAAAGGUCCUUCUAAAAAAGUCUAUUCCCUAGUGAAAGUUCUGUAGCGUAAUCAUAGCAUUGAGGAGGCCAUGUGGGAGCCUAAAGAUACGAUGCGUCAGCAAUAUCCUUAUCUGUUCUGAUCAGGUAGAAUUUCGAGGACAAAAUUUUCUUUUAAGGGGUAGAGUUGUAAUGCCCCAAAAAUUCUCAUUUCGUUAUUGUGAAAAUAUGACACAAAUAUUUGUCAGCUUUAGUGGUUAUAUGUUCUAGGAGCGUUUGGGAGGUCCCAAGUUCAAGUCUUCGCUUGGAAAAAUUUUGGUAUUUGGAAUGAAUUAGGCCUUAAUCUUGUUCAGUAGGCUUUUAUUUGAUUGUUGGGUAAAUUACAUCAGAAUGAGUCUGCCAGUCUGGUGGUUAAAUGGUGUGUUAUUAUGGUGGAGGUCUUGUGUUCGAAUCCCUAUGCAGGAAAUGGUAUUAUUUUUUUGCUCAGAUUUCGGGAUAAAGUUGUGGAUGUGUAGUGGGAAUUAGGGGAGAAGAUUAAGGGAUUUUGGGGGUUAUCGUGAUUUUAUUUUAUUUUUUCCCAUAACUGAAUUUUUGACGCUCGUUUCCAAAAAAAUUUUGCCGUCUAUUCUUCUCCCUCUCCUCUUGCCAAAAUUCUCUGAGUUUUUCCAUCUUUCUCUUCUUUUUCUUCUUCUUGAUUUUUCCCUAAUCUAUUUAUUUUCCAUCAUUUUCGCACGCGGUUAGUGCUCACUUAGUUUCAGUAAUUGUUUCUCACCGUUUCUAUCAUGAAUCUCUUAGUAACUAAAGUGGUAAUGUUUCUUCGCUGCGAUUUGGUCGUAAGACGAGGCUCGGACUGGUGAAUUCAGUGUUCUCAUCUUAAUAAUAGUUAAACGGAGGGUUAUCGUUGGAGGUAAGUUGGGUUUCUGUUCGUUCUUGGUUGUUAAUUCACUUGUAAAUCUGUUAAAUUGAUGUUGAGUGUCUUGAUUAUAGGCUUUGGAGUGCCCGGGGACUGUUUUCUCAUCAAACAAAACUAGGUGUGUACCUGAAAUGCAAACAAAGGGAUUCGGCGAAAAGCCGAAAUUGCUUGCUAUUUGGACAGCAGUAGGCUAAUUUUGAAAAAUCGCCAUAAAUUUUGAAAAUUGAAUUAGAGGAUGAAAAAAUAUGGAAUUAAAGGUUAUUGAGUCUAGUGUCUCAUAGAAGAAAUGGUGUAAGUAAUGAAAUUGUAAAUCGUGAGAUAUAAUAAUGUUUGUGAGACAAGGUUAGAAUGAAUUCGAGUUCCCCUGUUCGGACUUUGGAAAAUAAUCAAAAAUUGGAGAAAAAUAAUUAUAGGUUAAAAUUUACAUGUUUAUAUUAUUAAUGAGUCUAUUUUCAAUAGAAACAAAUGGGUACUUUAUCCAAAUUUUGUACUAAGAGAUCAUUAUUUUUUAGCAAAGAAGGGUCGAAGCUGUCAGACAGCAGAGUAGAGGUAAGUUUGAAGAUUUUACUAUACUUAUUGGGUGAACCAAAAAUUCUAUAAAUUUUAUGGUAGAAAGGUAUUUGAGUGUAUUUUCAAAGACAUCAAGUGGAUUUUAAUUUGGAAUUUUGUAGCUCAAGAUAUAAAUAAUUUAGUAACAGUGUCUCAAGUAGACAGCUUUGGAGGAACACAUAAGUAAAUAGUGAAACAUAUAUGAAUAUUUAGCUAGCACAGGGUACAUUAAAAAUGGAUCACGUGGCCAAGGCCAAUUUGGGUCGAUUGGGUUACAUGGUCGAGUGGGCCACAUGGGCGUGUGAGCCUAUUCCUCUAAAAAGUUCUGUAAGGUUGCAGGGGUCGCCCAAGUCGAUGGUGGACCUAUUGUAGGGUCGGUAAGCUUUACUUAGACCCCUAAAUGUGUGAUCUGUUUGACCGAUUUCUAUACCGAGCAUGACUUAUGAUAUCUGAAUGUAUGUACUGUUAAUUGCAUAAUGGCAUGACAUAUUUUGUAUGUUGCAUUUCAUCGGGGUGGGUUGAUGAUAUUUGGAGGAAGUGUCUGAAAGGCUAUUAAGCCUAUUAUUUGGUAGCUCAGCUGCAACCUUCUGAUUAUGUGCCGCAUUUCGGUACAGCAUGGUGUGUAGGGAUGGGUGGGUUGAUUUAAUCCCAACAUGGUGUGUAGGGUUGGACGGAGAUGGUGUGUAGAGGCUGGUGACUAGGAUUCUGAUUUACUGUAUCUGCAUUCUAUAUAUGAUAUGGGCCAAGCCCUAAUAUAUUUCGGAGACUGUGUCUAAAUGGGCGAAGGCCCAAACUAAUUUUGUGAUGGGCACAGGGCUCAAACUGUAUCUAAAUAAAUUUUGUUGAUUAUCUGUAUGCAUAUUUUUUGUGGGGAUUACACACUGAGUUUGCGAAAACUCACCCUUUCUCUGUUUAAUCUGUACACGUAAUCCCCACACUUGACGGGUCGGUGCAGCGGAGGACUCGACGGUGGCCACACGUAAAUUUCAAAUUGUUUUCCGUUAAUGUCUAGAAUGUAUUACUUAUUUGCGGUUUUUUAUGUAACUUUUCGACUAUGGACUGGUUGGCUUUAAAUUUGGGACUUUAUACUGUUUUUAUGGAUUUUUUUAAACUGUAACUCAACAAAACACGGUUUUUCUAAAAACUAAGGUUUUCAUAAAUAGAAACAAUUUUCCCUAAAUUAAUUGGUUACAAAAGCUUCCUCUAAGAGACAAGUUUUAAAGCAAAUCAACUAGCACUUAUUUUUUCCGAAUUAAAUAAAAGUUAACUAGCUGUAACGAUUUUAACUUGACAAUCUUGUCUUCAAAUCCCAUUCCAUUCCGCAUCGCCAGAUUCGGCCAUAAUGUCUAGCUCGAGUAUGGGGUGCUACACUAACCCAAAUUUGUUUAAUGGUGUUUCUUCAUUACAGGACUUCAUGGAUCCAUUGACGGACUUUCAAUUAUAUUACUCUACCAUCGAUAGACGAUUUUACUUGUGGGAAAAAGGUAAGUUGAAUAUUGAUAAUUCCCCACAAGUGCUACAAGAUAAAGAAUGUAAGGAAACAACAUAAAUUAAUUUAAGAAGGCAUACCUUGAAUGUUUUUGAUAAGUAUGCUACGGAUUUUGUUUGUCAAAUAUUUUCUUACAACAUGUUUUCUCAUUUGUCAAAUUUCAUUAAACCAUGUUCUGAAAGUUCAACUGAUUUUAUGGGUUUAUCUACCUUUGUAAAGGUUAAAAAUAGUAAUUUUGUUGCAUCAAAUAGGUUUUUAAAAGCAUUUUAUAUAUCUCCUCUUACAACAAAAUUUUCUAUCUUGACCAUUAACGAUGAAUUUUUACAUAAUAAUAUUAAUAUUUUUAUUUUUAUAAUUAUGUGAAAUUCUUGACUUAUCGUUCGAAAAUUCUUAUGGAUGACCGUGCAUAUUCAAAAAAAGUUACAAGUUAUUUUUUACUUGAACACUCAUGUUCAUUAUAUUUCUUUGUUUAGUGUUGAGGGUUUGUUUUUGAAUAAGAGAUACUUGAUCCAUGCUGAUUUGGGAGAUCAAAAUCAUAUAUUUGAUCCUAAAAAUAAUUUUGGCGCACAAGAAGGCUUAGGUAAGUAUUUGUUUCAUUUGAUUGUUAUUUAUUCUAAUCCCUUUUAAUUUUGUGUAGCUAAAGAUUCGGGGACAAAUCUUCUUAAGGAAGGGGGGAAUGAAGCGAGUCUCAAUGCCCAAUGUUAGACCCAUGAAUGUGAUGGGAUCACACUACCUCAAGGCUCAACAACAAUGUCAAAGGCUAAGCAAAUCAAAUCAGCUUUUGAUCAAAUACAAGUUCGAGGAUGAAUCUUUUUGAGGAAACGGGGAAAGAUACAUGCACGGAUCGAGUGAAAUUUAUUAAAUUUCAUUCACUGAAGCUGUCAAUUUUCAAGCUUGGGAAAUUAGUAGACUUGUGAUGACUUUUUCAAUGGGAUCUUGACAUUUAUGGGUUGAGAUGUCUCAUGGCGUUUGAAGAUGUAUCUCUUAGCCUUGAAAUGCAUUUUAAGUCACUCGAUUUUGAGUCUAGGAGCUCAAGUUAUGACCGUUUUAGUGAAGACUAUACGAGCAGAAUUUUUGAACGGGAUUAUGACAGGAAUUACAAGUUUCGGGCUUUUAAUUCGAGUUUAAAUCAUAUUGGGUUCGGGUUUUAGGCUUAAUUUUUAUUACAUAUGAGCCCAAUAUUGUAUUUAUCAUUACUUAUUAUUUUAUUUCAAUUGUUUUAUAAUUAUUAAUUAUUUUAAGUUAUUUAGGAGUUUUAUGUUAACAAGAAAGUUUAGUUUAAAACUACUUCUUAUUUAGAUUAAAUUAGAGUUCUAGUAUACUUAAGAGUUUUAUUUAGAUUUAUUUAGCUAGCCUAUAUAUAGGUAUUUGCAUUGCACACAAUUCAUUCAAUUCAUUAUUAUUCAACUUCUCUUUUAAGUUUAUAAUUUAUCUUUAAGUUUUCUUUUUUUAAGAAUUUCUCUUGAGUUUCUUUUAGAAGAGUUUUAACAAUCUUUUUAGAUUGUGGGGGUCAUAUUCAAACUUUUUCUUGCCAAGGUUUCUAUCUUGAAAGGGAAAUUAGAGCCACUUGAGUGGGGUUGUGGAUUCUUCAUGUUUCUGAGGCUUCUUAGGACUUCUACACGCCACGUUCUAUCUUUUCAUAUCUUCUUUAUUUUCUUCCUUAUUGUUUUAAUCAUAGAUUUAUUAUUCUAUUUUAAUUAUCUUAGUUAUUUAGUUUAAUUAUUUUAUCUAACUUGGAUUUAAUUGCCUUCCAAGUUUCUUUCCGAACAUCUAGAGCCCUAAGUCAAAUCUGUGACUUUGACAAACUUUACAAUCCGCUUCUGCAUUCAUCCGUCUCAUUCUUUAUCAUUUGGUAUUAGAUUUUGGCGUUUUAGGUUUUCUUUUUUUCUUUUAUAAACUGAUUUCUAGCAAACAACCUCAAUACAAUUUUUUUACAUCGACUAGCUACCCAAGUGUUGAGCUAUAAGAAUCCGGUAAGUCUAUGGCAAAUUGAUGAGGUAACAAAUGGGACCAUACCUCUAGCAGGUAUAACGACAGGUAGAAUCUUGACCUUCCUCCACCAUAAUACUUGGGAUGCCUCAUGAGGAGGCCCCUGCACCACAGCAUCCUCUGCAUUUCCUUUUCCGUUGUAGUGCACCUACAUUCACCAAUUGCAUCGAUUCAUCUACAUCCCUUAGGUGUUCAAGGAUUUGCUCUUUAUUACUCCUAGUCAUUGUUGUUCUCCUGGAUUAGUCGUUCUCGCUCUAUUGUUAAUGGUAGAGUACCUACCUUCAUCAUUUUGUGACGUAGACCUACCAGUUUAUCCUCCUUUCUUGACAAGUUUAACAAUUUUUUCGAUGACAUCGCAAAAACAAUGAUGAAAUAAAGCAAAUCUUAAACUGCAUUUACUAAGAAGAAGUUCUAAGUAGCAGAAAAAUAAGAACUUUAAAAUGACAAUGUGGUUUCAAGGAAGAUAAAGUUCUUGAUUUAUAGAUUUUUCAAUGCUCCUUCUUAAAUGCACAAUUUUGGGAACCAAUAGCAUCUUGCCACCUAUAUAGUUUCAAAUACUCUUCAUCAUGGUUGUUUUUUCAUAAAAAUACUUUGCAUUUAUGAUAGUUAUUGUCAGACCCCAAGUUUAGCGGAUCCAAGGUUAAGGUGUAUAGUAAUGAAAUAAUUUGUUUGGCGAAGUGUAAUUCUCCCAAUUGCUUAUUUUGGAAAAUAUGUGCAGGUGUAUACUAAACAUCGUGUAAAUAAGUGAAAAAUCCAUUUGAGAUUAUUCUAUUAUUUAAAAAUAAAAAAAUUUUAAGCAACAUGGUAAUUAUGGUAUGAAUUAUAACCGAAUGCAAAGUACGCCUUGCAUGCCUUAGUACUGUGUUGCUUGGGUUAUAAAGUGACCUGGUUAAGAACCAACUAGAUUGACUGGUCUAACCUCUAUAAUGAAGGAUUUUCAUUAAUGUUUCUCUCGGAAUCUGUAGGUCAUUAAGAAAGACAAAUUCUGAAUUAAGUCACACUUGUUGAGUUCCACUAAGCGAGGUUGGGUUAUAUAUGUGUGAGAAGGGUUCUGAAAUAAGAUUCUACUUUCUCAAAAAUGUUACUCUUUGAUUUUUUUCUUAAAUCCAAUUGUAUGUCUUCCUCAUUAAGCUAGAAGCAAAGGUUCUUAGUUUAACCAGUGGUCAUUCCAUCUCCAGGUAAGUAUUACAGAUGUGCAUGCUAGGUUCUGAAAGUGUAAGUCUGUAAAAGGUAUAUGAAUAGUAAGUUGUAAGUACAAGGCUUUGCGUGGGGGUUAUUAGUUAUUGAGAUGAUAGUAAUUUGUAUGUGAAUGAGUUUUUAUGGUGAUCAUAUGUUCUUUAAGCAGUUGUUGUUGCUGGUUCAAAAAGGAUAUCUAAGUCUAGAGUUUCAAUCUUUAGUGGGUGAGUAUCAGGUGAGUCUCUAUCCUGACUCUUGCAUAUGUAAUGUACAAAUAGAAUGUUGGUGGUAAGCAUGGAAGUAAUGUCUUAUAUGAAAAGUAUGAAUUAGUUAGGAGUGCAAAAAAAAUUGGGUAAGUGAAUACUGAAUAAACUUUCAUUUGGGAUGCCUCUAUUAGGGCAGUUAUAUUGCUAACCAGUGUGACGCCCUCAACCCGACCUGAUUCAAUAGGUCCAAAUCUCAGGUUUUACACAUACACUAAUUAAUAAUCUAAAAAAUUGUUAACAAUUUCUCAUUUCUCUAAUUAUUUUAUUUAACCUUUUAACUAAAAAUUUUAUCAUUUGAUAACCAAAGAAGUGUUAUAAAAUAACUUGUUACAACAGACUUGAUACAAAUCUUUACAAUAUAGAAGUUUAUUAAGGACGAUCAUACAAGGCACAAUCCUAGACUACGGCAUAUUUCCACUGUAUGCAUAAUAGACCUCUUCGCCAUUACGUUGGCAUACUCCUAGCAUCAUCCUUCCUGGCGCAACUUGUGUCGAAUACUUGAAACAACAAUGAACAUGGUAAGUUUAAGAGAUCUUAAUAAACCUUAUCACGGAAUUACCUGGGUGGAUACUUUAUUUUCUUAUAAGAACUUCUAUUCCUCGACCAUCCUUCUGAAUCAUUUAUUUCGAGCGGAUUUCUCUACAAUAUUCUUUAUCUAACUAACUGAAGAUCCUUCCAAACAUUUUGUAAAUACCUUUAUUUCAUAUAUACUUCUCAAAAGAUCAUACCUUCAGAUACAUCACAUCUGGUGAAUACUUAUAUAGAACUAAUUACCAUCAAUUUAUUAACCAAGUCAUUUCUAAAUUCAAUAUCAUACAACCCACACUUGUAAUGCACCACAUAAACCCAUUAGAAGAAUUCCACAUUAAUUAUUUUCAGAAACAUAUAUACUCAGAAUACCCAUAACUUAGACUUUAUACAAUUUCAGAAAAGAUCAUUACAAUCGAAACAUAACCUCAAUAUGACAGAUUCCAAGUAACUUUGAUUCAAUCAUUUCAUAACACAGAUAAUCUCACAUUGACAAUUUCUUAUGCCACACAUAACUACAAAUAUAACCAUAUCUAACGUUGUCAGAUCAUUGUGGUAGAUACCUUCAUUAUCAUAUAGCUACACAGUUCUUUCCAAAAACUUAUUCAAUUAUUUCACAAAUCUUACUCAACUCAUAAACCUGGGCAUAUCAAUACCUUAUCUCAGCCAACCUUAUUACAAAACUAACAAAAUUUAUCCAUAUCUUACAAUAAAGAUAGAUAUACACAGCGUACCAUGCAUGAUAGACCACGCCACAAGGGCCACACAGAAUACACCAUAAAGGCAUCAUACAAAAUCUCGUGUUUACUAUCCCGACGGACUUCACAGAAGGUGUCAUGGGUUUCUACCUUAUGGACUUAUAUAGAGAUUCAUGUACCGUAAUCUUCCAUUUCAAUUCAUACAUCAUUGAGGGCUACACCAUGAAUAUUCAAACAGACAUAUAAUGCCAUGGGUCUUAACCACAUGGUCUUAGAUACAUUCAUGUGUCAUGUUUUGACAAUAUAGUCUCCAUCUUACUGGAGGUUAUAGCAUGAAAGUUUCCAAAUCAUAGCAAGCUACCAUGGGCCUCUACCUCAUGGUCUUACACUAGGUUUCAAUCUAUAACAUGCCAAUCUGGUUAGCUAUAUAACUGCCCUACCAGAGGAUUCACAAUAGAACGUUAGCUCAGUAUUUACUUACCCAGAUAAUCACCUUCUUACAAACUCAUACACCUCCUAUACCAGACUUUUACUUGCAUGCUUAUUAAAUAGUAAUCCUUUAAUAAAACUUUAUGCAUAUUAUUACAGAGCAUCUCUCAUCCUUACUAUACCCAGAGCCUUACCAUUUUCCAUGGACAUGAUUAUCCCAUCUAUGAAUGUGCAUAUAUUUAUACUUCUUAUUUGAACAAUUCACAUAAUAGAGUCAAGAUAGUGACUCACCUUAACUCACCUACUACAGUUCUAAGCUCCAGACUUAUACAUCCCUUUUGAAUCAGAAGUAACAACUACUUAGAAACAUAAAUUUACUAUUACAACUCUUAUACAUACAAUUUACUUAUCAUCUCAAUCGCGGAUAACUUCAUGCAUAACUUGUAUUUAAAGCUUUACUGUUCAUACAACUCUUAUAGUCUUACACUUUUAGAACUUAACAUGCAAAGGCAAAACACUUACCCAAAGAUGGAAUAACCACUAAUUAGAUCUAGAAUCAAUGUUUCUAGCUAAAUGAGAAAGGGAUACAUUUAUACUUUCUAACGAAAGAAUUAGAGAGUAGUGUUUUUAAGGAAGAAGAAGAACCUCCCUCAAAACCCUUCUCACACAUAUAAAUAUGACCCACUUACCUAGUUGGACUUAACAACUGCCACACAUUUUAGAACUUACCUUAUUAAUGGUCUACAGUUCCCGAGAAAAUUAUAAAUAAGUACCUUGUAUUCACAAUUAUCGGGCUAGGCUAUCUAGUUGAUAUCUAACCAAAAUACUUAUGAUCUAACUAGUACAGUACUCUAAACAAACAACAUGUAUUACAGCUUUGGCGCCAACUCAUACCAUACUUAACCUUUAUCGCCUAACACAAACUUCUCCGUAAUAUAUUAGAGUAGCAUGAAACAAAAUCCUUACCUACAUAUCUGGCAGUUACUAAACGCCCGCAUGUAUAUGCCACAAUAAGAAAUUGGGAAGAUUACACUUCGCCAUAUAGACUAUUUUACUACUAUGCGCCAAAACCUUAGACCCACCAGACUUAGGGUGUUAUAACCAAAUUUGUAGACCAUGAUAUGAAAACAAGUGUAAGACCAUGAGGUUGAGACCCAUGGCAUCAUAGGAUAUGAAAACACUCAUGGUGUAUCCUCUAGUAAAACGAAGACUGAACUAGAAGAUCAUGAUACAUGAAAGUGUGUAAAUUCAUGUGGCUAAGACCCAUGGCAAGUAAGAUUGUAUGAAUGUUCAUGGUGUAGCCUUUGAUAAUGUGUAGAUCAAACUGGCAGAUCACGAUACAUGAAAUUUAUGUGCAAGUCCAUAAAAGAGAAACUCAUGGCACCUUUUGGGAAAAAUUAGUCGGAAUAUUAAACAUGUGAUUUUGUAUGUUGCCCUUGUGGUGUAUUUUGUUUGGCCCUCGUGGCGUAUUCUACUAAGUUCGUAUGGUAGAAUAUGAUUAUCCACCCUUAUGGUAUGUUUUGGAUAAAUUCUGAGUGUUCUGUGAUAGAUGUUACUAUGAUAAGGUUAUGAUUCGUCCGAAGUUAAUUUGGUUGAAUUAGAUCUGUGAUGUAACCAAAUAAGUUUCUAAGGAAGUUCUUGAAAAUAAGUGUGUAUCUUUAUGUUCAAAAAAGGGUAUCCACCAUGGUAAUUUGUUAGUUUUGAAUAUGGGUGUAUUUGUGGUUAUGAAAGACAUUAGAAAUUAUCAAUUUGAGUUCGACUGUGUUAUAUAGUGCUGAAAUUUGAGUAUCUGGUAUCCGCCAUAUCUGAAGAAUAAUAUGUCUUAAUCUGAAAUCUUAUGGAAUCUGAGUUGUUUGUUACCUUGGGUAGAUUUGUGUUCUGUAACGAUCUGGAUAAUUCAUUAUCAGUAUAAGCAUGCAUUAAGGUUGAAUUAGAAAAUGAUUGGAUUUGGUAAAUUGAUGGAAUCCAACUCAUCGUGGGAAUCUAUCAAAGGUGUAAGAAUCUACCAGUAAACAGUAUCUGUGACCAGCAGUUCUGGAAUCAGUGUAUGUGUGAAGAGACGGUCUAUAUAAAAUAGGCUCUGAAGGUAUAUUCUUUUAAAAAGUACUUUUGUGUUUUUUAAGAGAAAGAAGAGAUUAAUGAAAUGUCUGGAAGAAUCUCAAGUCAAUCAGGUAAUUAAGAGAGAACUGGUACACUAAGAGUAUGGUAGUUAGCGUGUAAGUCUAAGCCUAUAAUUGUGAAAGCAUUUGCCGAAAAUAGAAGUAAGAUGUUGAGAAUGGUAGCUGGCACAUAGAUAUUCAUUCGAUAUUAUAAAAGUAUCCACCAAGGUAUUCUAUAUUAACUAUCACUAAGUUCUCCUAAAUUUACAAAUGUUAUAUUUAUGUUUUAGGUAGUGUGGUAACGGAAUACGCCGGGAGUGACGACACCAGGAGUGUGCCAAGGUAACGACAAUAUGGACUAUUAAACAUACAAUGGACUAUUUGUAAAUGGGACAUAUUACAGAAUUACACCCUAGGAAACUAUCUUUAGUAAACUUUGUUUUGUUAAUGUGUUGUAACAAAUUUGAUGUAAUAUGUUAUUUCUAAAUACUAUCUUUUGUUUCUUUGAUUUUGAGUCUUUAAAUAAAAUUAUAAGAAUUACAUUUUUAAAUAAGGAGUACUCACCAAUUGUUUGAAAUUUAGCUAAGUGAUUUGUGUUGUAACACCCAAGAUCAGGACUUGGUAAUUUGGGUCGGGUUGAGGGCAUUAUAGUUACUCUAGUAGGAUUCUAGUGCUUCUUCAUCUUCUCUGGUAAUGCAAACACUCUCCCAUUAUUAAAUGCCUAAAUUCAGAUCAUGUCUCACCGAAAGCCAUUCUAUAACCUCCUGUUUAGGUUAGGGGGUUAUUAUUAUAUCCCUCCACCAUGAAGACACAUGUCAGUGCCAGAAACAUCAUUAACUCUCUUAUUGACUUUGAUUGAAGAUAAUCCUCACCUGACCAUCCAUCUAUUCCUUAAGGAAUCUGACCACACUUUCCCAAUGUGAACACAGUUUCAAGACAAUAAAGAGUCUAUUUAGGCAUAACAAUCUCGUACUAAUAGAGUCCCAUGAUAUACGACUAUCAUCCUUUACGCUUUUAGCGAGGCUAAAUGUAUAUCCUACCACGUCAUAGUAAUAGAAAAGAGGAUCUCUCCAAUAAAUACCUUGAAAAACGAGAAAGAAAUGAUCGACCCCUGACACCCUAAAGUUACUUUGAGCAAUUAUUUUCUCAGUCAACCUGUCUUCAUCCCAGAUCUAACUCUCGACCUCCUCUGCAGCACCACGAUCCCCUCCUUAACCUUCUCCCUUACUGUACAUUGUAUAAAUAAGAUAUUUAUAUUCAACUACAUGUUUGGCAGGCUAGUUGAUUUCUAGAUAAUAUUUAAACAUAUUAUAUCCAAGUUGCAUUCGUUUUAUUCUAUUGAAAGUUCACUGUUUGUUUUUAUAUGGUAUUGAUUAACAUUACAUUUAAAAAAAAUUAACUAACCCAAUUUAUUUUGAAUUUAAUAAAAACAAUUCAUAAAAUAAUAAUACAUAAGUUUUAAUUAAUGCUGAUAAAAACCGUCAACACAUCAAAUUAAUUGAAUCCUGGGUCUCUGCAUAUUUUAUCAUUCACUCUAUAUAUUUAAGUAAGCAUUAUUGAAAACAAGAAAAUAAAUAAAUAAGUAGAAGACAAACUGAUACAAUAUUUGAACUCACCAAUUUGCGAUUUACUAAGAACUUCUGGGAUGCUUAUUUUGACUAGUACCAAUUCAAUGAAAAUUAAUAACAAUGUUGGAUAUAAAUCCAAUUAAAAAAUGAGAAUAAUAAUUUUUUACGCUUCAAGUUCAGUGUAUAAAUAGCAUCCUAGUUCUCUAUCAUCUCACACCUCAACCACUCAAUCAUCCACUUCUUCUCUUCUUUGAACUCAAAGUCCCAGUUAAUAUUAGAAUCAUGGGUGUUGUCACUUAUGACUAUGAGUCUACCUCCCCAGUCGCCCCUUCCAGGCUUUUCAAGGCCUUUACUGUUGAAGCUCCGAAAGUUUGGCCCACGGCUGCACCUAAUGCAGUCAAGAGUAUUGAGGUUGAAGCUAAUCCUAGCUCUGGAAGUAUCGUAAAAAUCAACUUUGUUGAAGGUUAGUUCUUUCAUUGGCCUUUUUGUAGUCUGUUUUACACGAGUAUGUUGGAUAACAAGUAUUUAUUUGUUUAGGCCUUCCAUUCCAAUAUAUGAAGCACCAGAUAGGAGGACAUGAUGAAAGUAAUUUUUCAUACAGUUACGAUUUAAUCGAAGGUGGGCCUUUGGGGGACAAACUUGAAAAAAUCAGCUAUGAGAACAAGUUUGAGGCAGCUGCAGGUGGAGGAAGUAUUUGCAAGAGCUCAAUGAAAUUCUACACUGUUGGCGACAAUGUAAUCACUGAAGAUGAAAUCAAGGCUCUCAUUAAGGGAAGUGAGGGAGUUUACAAGCCUGUUGAAGCUUAUCUAUUGGCUAAUCCUGAAUCCUGCAACUAGGAUAUUGGUUGCUUUGAAUUCUGAUUCUUGGUUUUAAAGAGUGGUCAUUGCUUUUAAUGGUGUGUUUUUUAUAUUUUCUUUUUCCUUUUAAAACCUAAAUUGUCUUCUAAUUAUUUACAUAAGAGUGGUGGUGAUCGAGCUUUUGUCAUCUUUAUUUUCAUUACAGUCAAAGAAUUUGGGUUGUCUUUGACAUAUAUAGAAAUAAAAUAAACAAAUAAACUCAAAAAAAGAAAAAAAAAGGUUUUACCUGGUAUAUUGAUGAGUGAAAAUUCACAAUCCAUAUUAGAGAUGUGCAUUCGGUGGUUGGAACGAUUUGAUUAUUUUAUAACAAUAAUCGAAUAAAUAAAAAUUUUUACUGCAAUUGAAUUAAUCGAACCAAACUUAAAAAGGUAAAAAUGAAACAACCGAACUGAAUUUAGUCAAUUCGAUUAGAUUUAGUUAAUCGAUUUUUGCUUUUUUUGGUUUUUAACUUAGUUGAACUCCACCGAUCCAAAAAUUCUUCACUGUUCGUGUCGGCAUGUUUGUUCCUCACAGAAUGGGAGCAAACAGUAGCCGCCUUACCUUUUGCUAUAAAAAGGAUUUUAGUCUUUGCUUUCAAAAUCAUCCCAAUCUCUCCAAGAAAGUGUGUAAUCUUUAUUUGUUUAGGCCUUCCAUUCUAAUAUAUGAAGCACCAGAUCGAAGGACAUGACGAAAAUAAUUUUUCAUAUAAUUACAGUUUAAUACAAGGUGGGCCUUUGGGGGACAAGCUUGAAAAAAUUAACUAUGAUAACAAAUUUGAGGCAGCUGCAGGUAGAGGAAGUAUUUGCAAGAGCUCGAUGAAAUUUUACACUGUUAGGGACAGUGUAAUCACUGAAGAUGAAAUCAAGGCUCUCAUUAAAGGAAGUGAAGGAGUUUACAAGCCUGUUGAAGCUUUACCUCUUGGCUAAUCCCAAAGCUUGCAACUAGGAUAUUGGUUGCUUUGAAUUCUCAUGCUUGCUUUUAAAGAGGGAUCAGAUUUUAACUGUGUGCUUUUGAUAUUUUCUUCUUUGUCUUAAAACCUAUAUUGUCUUCCGAUUGUUGUAAUAAGAGUGGUGGUGGUGGAAUCAAGCUUUGAUAAUCUUUGACAUAUGAAAUAAACAAAAAUAUAAACUGGCAAAAAUAAUAAAAGCUUUACUUGGG
Molecule: long non-coding RNA, 60507 nt
Filed under: Gossypium raimondii (Peruvian cotton)
Lineage: Eukaryota; Viridiplantae; Streptophyta; Magnoliopsida; Malvales; Malvaceae
Description: long non-coding RNA (GRAI_LNC009481)
Source: RNAcentral